RNAcentral lists this long non-coding RNA (48144 nucleotides) under Malus domestica (apple). RNAcentral describes it as "long non-coding RNA (MDOM_LNC003995)". The record is from RNAcentral. Lineage: Eukaryota; Viridiplantae; Streptophyta; Magnoliopsida; Rosales; Rosaceae.
CCCACAUUGAGUCAUGGCACUCCUUAAGGAUUUCUUUCCUUAAGCUUCCCCACUUUGGGACGUAGAUCCGCUUGCCCUUGGUGUAUAGCAAGCCGUCCUCAAGCCAAAACCUUCUUGUCUUCCCAUCCUUGACAAACUCCACAAUGUUCUUGGCUUGGACGUCAUGUGACAAACCUUCUCGGACACGGCCCAAGAGAUGGCUUUGCGGCUUGAGUACCGUAGCCAUUAACUCUACUCGUCUACUUAGAGCAUCGGCCACCACGUUCUCCUUUCCUUGCUUGUACUCUAGCUUGUAAUCAAACUCCGCUAAGAACUCUUGCCACCUUGCUUGCUUAGGUGUGAGCUUUUGUUGGGUUUGAAAGUAGCUAGUGGCAACGUUGUCCGUCUUGAUGACGAAUGGGGUACCAAGCAAGUAAUGCCUCCAAACUCUAAGGCAAUGGACGAUGGCGGUCAUCUCCUUUUCAUGGGUCGUGUACCUCUUCUCGGCAUUGUUUAGCUUGCGACUUUCAUAGGCUAUCGGAUGUCCCUCUUGCAUCAACACUCCUCCUAUGGCAAAGUCGGAAGCAUCAGUGUGCAACUCGAAUGGCUUACUAAGGUCGGGCAACCUUAGUACAGGCUCCUCCAUUAGGGCCUUCUUCAACCUCUCAAAGGCCUCUUGACACCGGUCCGUCCAUUCCCAUGCCUUGUUUUUCUUAAGAAGGUCUGUUAAGGGUGCCGCUAUAGCUGAAUACCCUUUUAUGAAUCUCCGAUAGUAGUUGGCUAGCCCCAGAAAGGAUCGUAGUGUUGGUACCUUGGUCGGCGGUUCCCACUCUUGAAUGGCCUUGAUCUUGCCCUUUUCCAUCAUAAGUUUCCCCUCUUUUAUCUUGUGGCCAAGAAAUUCUACUUCUUUUGUGGCAAAGGAGCAUUUCUCCUUCUUGACAUAGAGUUCAUGCUCCCGAAGGGUCUUGAACACUAUGCGCAAGUGCUUGACGUGCUCUUCCAAUGUCUUGCUAUAGACAACGAUAUCAUCAAUGUAAACCACGACAAACUUGUCAAGAUAAGGAUGGAAUACCUUGUUCAUCAAUGUACAGAAUGUUGCAGGGGCAUUGGUCAGACCAAAUGGCAUGACUUUAUACUCGAACGCUCCAUAUCUGGUCACCAUCGCCGUCUUCGAUUCGUCUCCAGGGGCUAUCCUCACUUGGUAGUAUCCCGAUCGAAGAUCUAACUUUGUGAAGUACCUUGCUUCACCAAGUUGAUCGAAUAAGUCGGUGAUCAACGGAAGUGGGUACUUGUUCUUGAUGGUAAUCUUGUUCAAUGCUCUAUAGUCGAUGCACAACCUUAGGCUACCUUCUUUCUUGCGUUGGAACAAGACGGGUGCACCAUAUGGGGACUUGGAGGGUUGGAUGUAGCCAGCAUCAAGUAGCUCGUUGAGUUGCUUCCUCAAUUCCUCCAACUCGGGUGGCGACAUCCUAUAAGGUGAUUUGGAGGGAGGCUUAGCACCAGGCUCCAACUCAAUCGCAUGGUCGACCUCUCUCCUUGGUGGCAACUUCUUUGGCAGUUCCUUAGGCAUCACGUCCGCAAACUCCAUAAGGACGUCUUCCACUUGUUUUGGCAAAGGCUCGUACUUCUCCUCCCCUUCAUUCAACAUUAGGGUUGCAAGAAAUGUGGCCUCGCCUUUCUUCCAAGACUUGGCAAAUUGAAUUGCCGACAAGUGCUGGGUACACUUCUUAGCUUGCCAUUCCAAUGGCACCAGGCAAGGUUGUCUUCCGUCGGCCAGGAUACAGAAAAUAUUGUAGAAGGGAAUGGGAAAGGCUCGUACCUUGUCCAUGAACUCUAACCCAAUGACUACGCCAUAGUCGUCCAUCUUGACUACGGUGAAGUCGAUCGUUCCCUUCCAUGUGCCAAUGUCUACGUGCACAUUACGCGCAACUCCAACAAUGGGGGUGGCGGCGGAAUUUACCGUCUUCACGCUACCAGGCUCCUUUAUGACUCGGAGGCCAAGCCUUGUGGCUUCCUCCGACGUCAUGAAGUUGUGUGUUGCUCCCGUGUCCACCAACACACGCGUCGUCUUGUCACCAGUCUUGACGUCGACGAACAAUGAUCCUCCUCCAACUUGAGCCUUAGGUUGUGGGAGGGUUGUCUGGAUGGCAUUCAGUAGACGGAUGCAUCCUAUACUUGCAUCGUUACUCUCCUCGGCCUUGUCCUCCUUGAAGGCCAUGGCCUUAAGGGCCUUCUUUUGUGGGCAAUCUCGCAUCAUGUGAGGGCCGUCGCAUAGGUAACAAGUGGGUUGCCAAGACUUACCUUUGCCUUUGUCAUGCUUAUCGGCUUUCUUCUCCUUCGGUUUGCUUGUCUCGGCCUUGUCCUUCGGCUUAUGUUCUCCCCCACUUCUCUCAUGGUUACCCUUCUUCCCCGUGGACUUGGAAUCACCUUGGUGGCUUGAUUUAAACUCAAUCAAGGAUUCGGCAGCGGCAAUGGCAUCAGACAAUGUUUGCACGUGUCUCCUUUGUAGUUCGAGUUUUUGCCCAAUUUUGCAGUCCACUCAUGAAGUACAUGAGCUUGUCUUCCUCUAACAUGUUGGGCACCUCAAAUAACAAGCUCACGAAGGCGUUGACAUAGUCUUUGACGCUCCCCGUUUGCUUGAGCCACCUUAGUUUCUCCUUGGCUUCGUACUUGGCAUUUUGGGGAUAGAAGUGCAACAUAAGAUCUUUCUUAAAUUCAUCCCAAGUGGUGAGAGAGAACGUACCUUGCUCAAUCUCCAUGCUCCGAUGACGCCACCACAUAAGGGCAUUGUCAGCUAAGAACAUGGUUGCCGUUGAGAUUUUGGACUCGUCAUCUUCAAGCUUCAGGUACUUGAAGUAUCGCUCUACGUUCCACACGAAUGUGUCGAGCUCCUUUGCUUCCCUCUUCCCAUUAUAGGAUUUGGGUUUAAAGAAGUCGAUUACCUUGGAGUCCAAUGCCUUGAUUUCCCUCGGCCCUUGCACGAAUUGCUUCACGACUGCUUCUUUACAAAACGCCACAUCUCCCUUAAGUUCCCUUGUGUCCUUUAUCUCUUCUUGAAGCGCCACAAACCUUGCCUCUAUGUUGUCAAGGUGAACCUGGACUUCCCUCCGCAUCUUGUCUGCCAUGGUGUUGAGAGCGCCAAGGAGCUCAUCUCGUAGCCCUUCCACCAAGCCACGCAGUUCAUCCUUUCCAUUGUCCACCAUGGUUUGGAUUUCCUCCUUGUCGACAACGUCCUCAUCAAGUCGAGUAUCGAACUCGAGUAUGGUUCGUUCCACCUUCUCGAGUCGCUCUUCCAUGGUCUCCAUCGAUGCUUGCAAGUCCUUUAACUUUGGCUUGCUCUUGGCAACGUCUUGGACCUCGGCAGUACGCUCCCUUAGGUCGGAGACUCCGGACACCAUCUCUCCACUUGCCAUAUCCUACUUUCCUUCAAGUGAUUCACGAGCUUGGCUCUGAUACCAGCUGUCACGGGAUGACUCUUUAAGCCUUCCGCCCGUGCGGCACUUAGACUUGAAUACCUUGAUGAACAAGCUAAGUAAGCCUUCGAAGCCUCGCUUCCCCGGAUCGAAUCACAAAGAAAGCUAAGAUAGCUUGGAGAAUGCUAAGAUCACUUAGAAGAUGGGAGAAAGGAAGCUUUGUAUUGAAAAGUUAAGAGAACUUUACAAUUGCUUACAAUUCUUGGGAUGGUUUGGCCAAAUGGCCUUACCUCCUAUUUAUAGGCCUAAGUCACCUCCUCAAUGGAGGGUUCUAGAAUCCCCUACUUACAUCCAAAAAUAUCUAGCAUAGCUCUAGAUACAACUUGCCUAAUCUAGAUUAUUCUAGGUGAGGCUUAAAUAUGUACACUUGUGUGGAAUGUUCCGGAAUGCCCUAAGAUUAUCUUGAAUGCUCCGCCACGUUCUUGAUUUCUCCGGGACGUUCCAGAAGCUUCCAUGAAGACAUGGCUUCAUGGGCUUAGAUAUAUGAUGUCUUGGGCAUUUUCUUUGUUUUUAACACAUGGCCCGUGACACUAGGAAGUUGAGUGCAGAAUUUUACCUUUUGGUUGCUUACACAUAUGGAGAAGGUCAUUUUAUAGUUAAGUUUCAAAUGUGUGUUGUUUGGCUUUAUAGUUACGCGACACCUGAGACUAUGAAGGUUUAGGGGAACAUGGAUUACUUAUAAGAUAGUAGUUUUGCGUUCCUUAUCUUUCUUGAGCUUCCUUACCCAUGUAUGCUUGUAUCCUUUUGUAUCCUACUACUACAUAUGUUUAAUCUCCUUUGCAUUUUUGCUUUAAUUAGCCAAUGAUCAUGUCUUCUUGUAUCCUUCUUAUGUCCUUACAUGUAUAAUGUCAUGCUCCAGUUACUUAAUUAUUUGCCACUAUCGAAUAAUGUUAUUUUAUAUUUUCACUGGACAUGGAUGAAAGAAAGAUUAUGGUAUGCUUUAUUGUUAAGUUGUGGUACUUGAAUAUUAUGAAUUGGUUGAUGAUGUGGUUCAUGAUGAAUCAUAAUUCAGCUAGAAGGCGGAAUCGACAUCUUGCACUUAGAAAUUACACAUUUGUUAGGAGAAUGGUAGGGUCAGCCUAUUUAGACAGCAUGAUAGGAUAUGAUGAUGUUCAUUGUGCGAACCAAAUUAGAAUGGAUAGAAGAACGUUCCAUUAUUUAUGUCAAAUGCUCCGUGAUCACGGUAGAAUAAAAUUGGAUGGUGUAGUGACAAUGGAAGAACAAGUUUGAAUAUUUUUGCAUAUAUUUGCACAUCAUGUAAAGAAUUGUACAAUUGGGAGUAGGUUUUGUCGAUCGGGCGAGACCAUAAGUAGGUAUUUCAAUUCCAUUUUACAUAGAGUGUUAACGCUACAAGGUAGACUUUUGAAAGUGUCAGAACCCAUUCCUAAUGCCUACCCAGAUCCUAAAUGGAGUUGGUUUGAGGUAUUCUUCAUAUUUUAUAAAAAUUACUUCUAGAAUUAAUGUAAUUAAAUAUAUUAAGCUUACUAAUGUUAAUGACUUUUUUUAGAAUUGCUUGGGGGCAUUGUAUGGGACUUACAUUAACAUUCAUAUCCCUAAGUGAGAUAAACUAAGAUACUAUCAAGGAAGGGAGAGAUUGCAACCAAUAUGUUGGGAGUUUGUAAUAUGGACAUGAAAUUUAUAUUUGUGUACCCAGGUUGGGAAGGGUCAGCCUUUGAUCCUAGAGUACUCCGAGAUGCGAUAAGUAGACCAUCGGGAUUAAAAGUUCCCAUGGGUAACAAUAGAUUAUUUGUUUAUAUUAGUAAUUUGAAUCCUCAAUUUUCUUAUAUAUUGUAAUAUACAUUUUUUUGGUGUGUUAGGGUGUUACUACCUUAUGGAUGGUGGGUACACAAAUGGUCCAGGAUACCUUGCACUGUAUAGGGGAGUGCGUUACCAUCUCUUGGAGUGGAGAAAUAGAAGACUCCCAAUUAAUCAUGAGGAGUAUUUCAAUAUGAAACAUGCUGCAGCUAGAAAUGUCAUUGAGAGAUGUUUUGGACUACUUAAGAUGUGUUGGAGCAUCUGAAGAGGUCCAUCAUUUUUCCCAAUUAAAACAUAACUUGGAUUAUGACAGCCUGCUAUCUAUUACAUAAUCUUAUUAGAAGACAUAAGUCAUUUGAUCCAAUAGAAAAUGAAAUCCUAAACUUGGAUGAAUCUGAAAGUGAUGAUGAUGAUGAAGAUAUGAUUGAGACUUUUCAACCUACAUAAGAAUGGACUGCAUAGAGAAACACUUUGGCUUUGAAUAUUGAUGAGUCGAUGUUUUACUAUAUAUUUUACCCUAUUCUUAGUAUUAAUUUAUUUGUUAUUUUGGUAGAAUUUUGAUACUUUAAUUUAUAUUCUUAAUGUAGGACAUUCGACUUCCUCUGGAGCAAAAAGUGAUCAAACGGAUGAAUUUUGGAGUGAUUCCAAUUGGAGAUGUUCGUGUGCCUUUCAAGAUGAUUGUGUCAAAAUUCCAAAUUUUUCUACCAAGCCAUUUGACCGUGGUGAUGAAAUUAAGGCCCAGCGCGCAGCUUUCCCAGAUUGCGUUUAUGGACGUUUUGAGUAUUUUGGAGGUCAACAUGGCAUAUUUUAAGGAAGACUCCUUCUGAGGAUCUGUAGGGAACAUCUUCAGCUUUCAAAAGACCUUUUCAGACCAAAUCGAAGUUGAUUUAGUCAGUCAAAAGUAUGAUUUUCUGAGAAGUCCGAAUUUUAGUUCAAAUUGGAAACCUUUUAUUUUGUGUUUUAUUAUUUUAUUAUGUUUCCUAGUUUUAUUCUAAAACCUUUUAGGGUUUUAUUUUGAAGUAAUAUAAAUAAGAUAUUUAGCCAUUAGGGUUAAGAUGAGAAGAGUGGAGGGAAUGCACGCACUACUUUAGAGGGUUUUUGAAGUUUAUUUUCAAGGUGUUUUCUAUCAUUGUUUUUAAUAAUAUUUUGUUUAUGGUUGUUAGUAACUAAUUCUUAAUUGCUAGGGCGAGGCCACGAGCUUUAGUAAGAAUAUGUAGUUUCUUUUCAAUUUACUUAUGAUAUUAUGCAUGCAUGUUUUGAAUUAUUAAUCACCAUUUUAACUAUCUAAGUUUCUUAGUGAUUCGUGACCAUUAGGAUAUUUAGAAAAGUAAUUUGAUGCAAUUUUGGUCGUAAGGUUUCCUGAAAUUGACGUUGGUUUCUUGUGGUUAAUAAUUGUAAUUUCACUUAGGAUGAACACCACGUCUUAAGGGUUGCAUGGUUUUUCAAAGGGUUUUCAUAAAGCAUAAUGAGUCUUUCAUGUUCAUAUUUGAUCCGAACGUCCAUACAGGUUGAAUGUUAGAUAUACGUUCUAUGUUGGAGGUUCCAAGUAGGAUAUAUAUUAGGAAAAACUAACCUUCAAACAUAUGCAUGGGUAAUUCAUAUGUACUUGAAAGAACUACAUAUGAUUGUUAAGAUGACGGCAGAACCCUAGGCUUUUACAAUUUUAAUUUUCAAAAACUGUUUUCUUUUAGUUUAUUUUAUUUUGGCACUUUAUUUAAUUAUUUUCUAUUAAAUUCGUUUUUAUUAUUUUAAAUCAUAAAAUCAACUUUUUCUCAAACUUUGUUUUAAAUAAUUAAUUAAGAUUUUAUUUAACAUAGAUUAUUCAUUCAAUCCCUAUGGAGAUCGACCUUACUAGAGCCAUCCAUACUACAAUUACCUUAUACUCUUGCAAGUAUUUUAAGUGUUUUUAUCCUUACUUUUGCAGUUGGUAAAAUCCCUAUCAAAUAUGUACAAUGAGUGGCAUGCACAAGUGUGAUUUGAUUAAAUUUUCUUAUACAUGCAUGUUGUGAUUUGGUUAUGGUUCGUUAUUUGAACAAAUAGUGAUUUCUUAUGUAUUGUGGGACAAAGUGUGAUUCGGUUAUGAUACUUUCUUCGAACCUGGUUAUGUAUUUAUUUAAAAAGUGUGAUUGUUUGCUUAUGGUUUUUUUAUCACUUACCAUUAACUUUAUGCACUAUUGAUUAUAUGGUAUCUUAUUGUUUAUGUAAUUAUAGGAAUGGAAAGUGAACAAAGUAAUCAACCAAAAGGAAGAUUUGUCAAUUUUUUUUUUCUUCCCUUUUAUUGUCCAGUUCAGUACCAAACACAAUAUAAAUAAUACGGUCAAUAGUCCGAUACUGCAACAAACGCUCGACUAAUUUAGUUAAUACUAUCCGGUGACUAUUUAUCCUAUCCAACAUAAAUAGUCAAUAGAGUCUAAGCUGCCAAACGAUGUCUCAUUAAAGGCAAUCUUUGUUUGUGCCAAACACUGGCUAGGACUCCUAUCUAAGGCAAUCCAGUCCAAUAAGACUUAAAGAGGCCAAACAAACGUGUCCUUAGAUUUUAAACAAAAAAAAAUUCGACGUUCUUUCUUAUAAGCAAAAGUGCUUUUCUAAGUAGUCAACAUCAAACGGACAACACACUACUAGAAUAAUUAACACCACCCCAUUUCCACCCCUAUUUUAAUAUAGUUAUCCACAUUUUUAUAUGGUCACUACAUCACGUCAUGCCAUAAGAUUAUAGUAUACAAGCCAAGAUUCUGGACAUUCACCAAUAAAUCUUGAAAGAGAAGAUUGCACAGGUUGUAUAUGUGAUCUCAUUCUCCACACAUUGCAACUGAAAAUCAUUAUUUUGCAUAUAUAUAUAUAUAUAUAUAUGUGAUCUCAUUCUCCACACAUUGCAACUGCAUAUCAUUAUUUUGCAUAUAUAUAUAUGGAAUUGCUUAAGGGGAGGGAUCCCCAUUUUUUCAAAAAAAUGGGGACACGCUCCACACCGUUGGAUUUGAAUUAAAUGAAAUCCUGUGGUUGAGAUUCUAUGGCCUGUGUUUUAAUCUCAACCACACAAUUUCAUUAAAGUCAAUCUAACGGUGGGGAGCGUGUUCCCAUUUUUUUUGAAAAAAUGGGGAUCCCUCCCCUUAAGCUCCCUGUAUAUAUAUAUAUAUAUAUAUAUAUAUAUAUAUAUAUGCAGUAUUUAUCUUAGACCAUUCUUUGCAUAUAUAAUUAUCGAUCAUAUUCGUGAAUGGCAUUAUUAUGAUCGUGCUGGUUGAAGAUCAAAUCAAAGACCAAUUUAACAUGACACCACCACGAAAUGGCAAAAUCUACAACACCUAAGCCUUUGAUGUUGCUCGAAACCAAUUUUGUAUACAGGUUUGAUAUUAUAUUAUUAUUUUUCUCUUUCUGUGUUUGCAUUCAAGUUCAAAGGGGAAAAUAAUACCACGUCGAAGGCUGACAGCGUGACAGAAGCAGCUUUGUUUUAAUGCCCCUUCAAAACUAGGGUUUUAGCUAGGCGAAAGCGGUACGCAGGGUUUUGCUUUUGCUUAGGAUUUGGAGUACUUUCGAUGGCUGCUUUGAAGCUACAAAUUCAAUUGGGAAAGGAAAGUGACUUGAAGAUUGAAUUUCAAUGGUGGGAUUGGAUUGGACUGUGAUGCAGGCAAUGACUUCAUCCACGACAGAGACAAUGGAGUGGUUUCUGUCUGUGAUGAAGGUGAGUAGCUGUAAAAACAAUAUUAGAGAUACACACAGUUGACGAUUAUAAUGUUUAAAAUUAUUUCUAAAAUAUACAUGGCCGGUCCAAAAAUUAAUAUUUAAAAAUUAUUUCUAAAAUGUACGUCGCUGGUCCAAAAAUAUACUUUAGAAAAUUAAUAAAUAUCCCCUUGCAAUUUUUUUAUUAAAAUACUCUUAGCUAAUUUUUUUUUUAUUAUAAGGACAGUUCUUUUAUUAUUAAGAAUAUUUUAUUUUGAAUUAAAAAACUCUCAUAAUUUAGUUAAGCGUGACUCCAUUUUUAUCUUUUUAAUACACAAAAAUGUCCUUAAUAAUAAGAAAAGAUGUCUAUCUAAGUGUUUAUUCAUAUAAAAAAUAUUGUGAGAGACUUAAAUAGUUCUCUCUUUUUACCCCGGAUAUUCCAAAAUUCUGAUUUCCCGCUGGUAAUUGACAUGAAUUAACGAUUGAAGCCCAAGCUUCCUAUACAGCAAAAGAGUUUCAUAUUAUUAUUAGUGGAAUAAAUUUACUUGCCAUGUUGUCCAAAUCAACUCGUAUAAGGGAAAAAGAUUGUUAAGUUGUCAAUUUUACAGUUAAUCUAGAAAAGUUUUUGACUGUCAUACUCAUAAAUGCUUAUCCUCUAUAAAUAUAUAUAAUAAUAAAAGCGUUAGAUUACUGACAUAAAAAUUGAUUUUUUUGAUCAUAUAGCUAAAGAAAUAAUACUUGUAUGAAACUUAUAAGACAAUGACAAAGAAACGCUCAAGUGAUAAAAAUAAGUGUUAAUCUCAGUUUACUACCAUGAAGUUUCUUGAUUUUCAACAUUUGAUACAUCAUGUUUUUUUCAUCUCAGAGUGGUAUUUAAAGUCAUAAUUUUUGGACACUUUCAUAUCUCCGUUAAGGUUGCUGUUAAAUCAACUGUUAAGGUUGCUGUUAAAUCAACCGUUAAUUGGUGACGUGGUGCUCACAUGAACAAUGAUUGGGCGUCACGUGUGUAAUAUAGGGCCCACGUGGAUUAAAAAAUAAAAAAUAAUUAAAAAAAUAUUUCGUCUCCUACCUUAUCCCGUCCCCCGACCCUCCCUCCCUCCCUCCCUCCCUCCCUCCCUCCCUUUUCUCCUCUAUACCCACCCAAUCCUCCUCUCACUCCCUGCAAAUCCACCAUUCCCCCUUCAUCUUUAGCCGUGCGCCGCCAGAUCUGCGGCGAGAUCGAAGUUGUGGCACUCCUGCGCCGACGACGACGUCGAUUUCUCCUCCGUUUCGAUCAGGAUCCUGUCGCUAGUUCUUUGCGGAGUGGCUGCCAUCAAGUUCAUGGUGGGCCUAGAAAUUGACAAGUUGUUCGCCAGGAGGAUGAACUCAAUCGAGAACACCUAGGCAUGUGCCGGAGAAGAAGACGGUACAGAUGUAGAUGGGUUGAAAAAUUAGGAAGAGCUGACGUCUUUUGCCAUGGUGGGGCUCGAAGGUUCGAGCUCACGGGGCUGUCGGAGAGGAAAUGAGGGUUGGGUGGGUGCAGAGAAGAGAAUGGAUGGACUGUCGGGGGAAGGGUGGGGGGAGGUAGAAGACGACCUUUUUCUUUUUAAAAAAAAUUAUUAUUUUAUUAUUAUUUAAAAAAAUUAAUCCACAUGGGCCCUAUAUUGACACAUGGCACCCAAUCAUUCUCCAUGUGGGUGUUACGUCAUUAGUUAACGGUUGAUUUAAUAGCAACUUUAAUGGAGGUAUGAGAGUGUCCUAAAAUUAUGACUUUAGGUACCAUUCUGGGAUGAAAAAAAACAUAAUGUAUCAAAUGUUAAAAAUCAAGAAACUUCAAGGUAAUAAACUGAGAUUAACCCUAAAAAUAAAGAACCAAGCUUUAAAGAAAAAACAUUUAAAAGUAAGUUACUACUUUCCAUUUAUCAACUUUUAUAAAGAUUGUCUUCUACAUGUUAAGGAUGCAACUUGGGUUGGGUACGUAAACUCGAAUCCGUCCAUGCCUAACUUGAUUUCAAACCCAACCGAGCGGAAUAGAAUAAAGAGAAAACCCAUCCAAAUCCAACCCAACCUCAACCUGAUCAUUUAUUGUGUUGGGUUAGAUUGAUGCAUUGCCGCUGAUGUUAAACCACAAUCUGAUUUUGAGCCCGAGUUUGAUCAUGCACAUAUUGCCGGUCCAACUUUAUACAUUGAUAAGGAAUGAAUAUACAUGAAGUUCUUGUUAGUUUUCAUAUGGAUAAUGAAUGAUAGUGUUACUUUUAAAUUUCUUUUGGUUGAAGCCUUAUUAUAUGUGUUGUAAUGUAAAUUCAAUUUUGCAUAGUUGAAACAUUAGAAAUGACCUCCAAGUUGUUUGCUUUCACUUUUGUGUGGAUGAUGAUGUGUAAAUUGAAUAUUUCUAACUAAGAUAGACAUUAUUUUGUUCAAAAUUUGAAAAAUUAUGCAAAAUAAGUUGUUAGAAGAUUGAACUCGAUAAAGUUGGGUGAACCUAAAUCCAACCAAAGUAAGCCUGAACCUAAUUAAAACCAAAACCCGACUAAACUUGCAUGAAUCCGAACCAAACCCAAGCCCAAAUUAUGAAGAUCGAGUUAGGGUUGGGUUGACCAUCCAACAUGUCCAACCGGGCCAAGUUGCACCCUAAUGCAUGUACAUGGGUUGGUGUCGUACAUAUUAUUCAUAUAUAUAUAUAUUUUGUGUUCAUGCAUAUGUCGAUAAUUUGUAACUUGAAAUUAAGAAGAAUAUUUGGCUGUACCUAAUGGGACGAGGAUCCUUUCCGGAUCCUCUUUGUGGGGAUCCAAAAAUCAAUCAAUCGUGUUUGUUCAUUGUACAUUGUGAGGUCAGUUUUCGUUAAGUACUAUUUAUAUUUAAUUUUAAAUAAAAAAAUUCAAAAUAAUUUCUAGCUGCACAACGUAUAAUGAACGAAUAUGAUUGAUUGAUCAUCGGGAUCUCCACAAGGAGGAUCUGGAGAGGAUCAUAUUCCCACCUAAUGUGCACCUUCUUAUCCAUUCAGUGUGAUUAACAAUGUUUCAAUACAUUGCAUAAUCAGAACAGUAUACUAUUUUAAUCACUAAUUUUGUUUCCAAUUAAGAUAAUUAAUUUGAUGUGAUAUAUACACACGUAUAUACACUGCGAAAGGUCACAAGGUGUGAUAAUGCAGUUAACAGAAUACUGUUUAACUUGUUACAAUUAAAAAGUUAUUUUUUUACUGUAAAUAACGUAGACACAUAAUGUAAAAUCAAAUAAAAGAGAACUAAAGCACAGUAAUUUUGUACCCUUUUCAGAAGAAGAGACCAAGGUGUGAUUUGUAAAAUAAUUCUUACAUAUAUCUAUAUUAAGGAAGUACGGAAAACGUCUAGAAUAAAGCUAAAGAGACAAUUUAUUUAAAUUAUAUUUUAUAAAUUAUUGAUAAUUAAAUUAUUAUUUAAAUAUUAAUUAACAUUCAUAUUUUUUAUUAAUGACACAACACAUUAUUUGAAAGUGGGCUCUAAAAAAUUGUUCAGCUAACAUUACUCAUCAAAGUUAUAUCAUGUCAAAGAUUGGACAACCCAACCGUAUUUAGACAGAGAUUUUGAUCUUGGGUCUAACCUUUUGUUUUAUGAAUAAAUAAUAAUUUGGCGUAGACAACAAGCUAAACACCCAAUCAGAUUUGAUCAAACACAUCAAAAGAAAAAAAAAAAAGUAAUUAGAUGAAGACAGCAACACAAAACCGACUGCUAAGAGAAAACCGGUGCUGAUCAUGGCCAUCAGUAUUUGAACAAAAAUUCAAACGUUUUAAAUACAAAGCCGAACAAUAAAUUAAUCAUGUUCAGAAAGCUCCAAGAAAUCACUUAUCUUGUUCCGAAAAUAAAAUAAUAAUUAAUAAACUUAUUUUUUUUAAGUAAUUAAUAAACUUAGUAAAAUAAACCAUAAUUACGAAGUUUGGUAUGAUGUUAAUCAAAAGAUGAUAAUACCGUGGGUUUGGAUAGAGCUUUCAAGGUCGUCGUGCUGGUUUGCGUUGAAGUCUCUUGGCUUCAAGAGCUGGACUCCAAAUUCCCUAUUCUAUUUACGCCACGUCACCAUUUCCAUAUCCCAUUCCUACACAGCCUUUUAAAUUAAAACCCUCACCACCUUCAGCCCAAAUCAAACCUGAAACUUCCCAAAAAACCAAGAACAAAAAAAGGAAAUUUAUUAGCCUUCGUUUUUCUCCCUUUUGGAAACCAAAAACUGCAAAAGUAAAUGGAGGGUUUGAUUCCUUUUGUGUACAAGGCCAUAGUGGAAUACAAGAAUGGAAGACAAGGAGGUGGUCAUCAUGUGUUGAACUCGUGGUUCAGCGACUCGCCUUCAGCUUCCUAUAUCCGAUUGCCUGGCGACUCAGGCCGGUUCCAAGCAUCUGAUUUCCAGCUGUUUUCUGGGACUUCGCCAGCUUCUUCAACUGCCCAAAUGAUGAUAUCAUCUGGAGUUCAAUCCCCACUUCGUCAUCGAGUUGCUAGUAACUAAUGGUACGACUUAUGAAAGUACGAACUAAUUAGGACGUACGUGGCAUGCAUGGCUGAAGAAAGCUGAAGGUGUGCAAACUUGUCAAAUUAUAUGGUGGUGGUGAGCUGCUGCGUUAAGUAGAAUUUGUGUAUGAUAGCCUUUAUUUUCGUUCAAUCUUUAUUUUCUUUGUUUUAUGGGUUUAAUUUAGUUGAACUUCGAAGCAAAUAAGCGUGUGAAAACCAAAGGGGCCAUGCGCUGUUUGCUUUGUUGUUCUUCUUCUUGUUAAGAUUUGUGUGAAAAUGGCUCAAAUCUCAAAUGUAAAUGGUGAUUGUAAUGUUUAAGAAAAGUCUACGUGUUUCUGGCCCAAGGGCUAUGUUAUGUCAACAGUUAAUUGGUCGACAGUUGUUUGUAAUUAUCUCUUCAUUAUUUCAUCUUCCCUUUGUAUUUUUCCUUUGUUUGACUUCCCUUACAUCUUGGAUCAUCUGAGCUUUUGAUGGGGUCAGACUUAAAAAACUAAGCGAAGUGUUUUUUUUUUGUUGGAUUUUUAUACUAUUUUGUUUCACUUUCAACUUUUAUUUUUUAUUUUUUAUUUUUUAUUUUUGAGAACUCACUCUCAACUGUAAGUAUAUUCAAUCUAAAUAUAAACUUUUUUUUUUGAGCAAAAUAUAAAUAUAAAUUUUAAAGAUUAAUAAAAGUCAUCUUAUAUAUUAAAUAUUGUUGCAGUCAUAUUUAGAACAGAAUGUGAUUGUGUAAAUCCUAGGAGAUAUGGGAAAAUAUCUUAUAUUCCUAUUAAGAGUAAAUUACCUAUUAAAUGUUGUAACCUAAUGGGAAAGGUUUUUAUCUAUACUACUACUAUAAAUAAAGGCACAAUGGGGUGAAUCAAACACACCUCACAAUUAAAUCAAUCUCUCUUCUCUGUAAUUGUGGCCGGUCCCCUCUCUCUCUCUAAACUCUAGAUCGUUUAAUCAAAUAGGCCUACAACACGUUAUCAGCACGCUCUUGCUAGAAGCUGAGGAAUUGACGCAUCAUAGGAGGAGGCUAUCAUCCACCAAAUUCAAAGACUUAUUCGUUUUCUGUUAAUCAGGUACGCUUAAAAUAAAAGAAGAUAUUUGAAAUGUCCACGAAGCAUGAAAACAUUCCCCAUGAUGCAUGAACCCCACUAUGUUUAUAUUUUCCUUUCGAUAUAUAUUGUAUAUGUUUAUAUAUUUGUCAAUAUAUAUAUAUAUAUAUAUAUUUGUUUCAUGCAUCGCACAAUUAAAUUGUUAUGGGAAUUUGUGAGUCAAUGUAUAACAUUAAAUUAGAAGCAUAUUUAGGGUUUCCUAAACCAUAAGGGAUUUUGAAAAAAAAAAAAAGGAACUGGACAUGGUGCGGCACACCACCGCACCAUCACUGUGGAAAUAGCCACCAAGCCUCGGCCUGGACCUCACCUCGGCAGGGCCUAAGCCCUAUGCCCAUCCCGCUGCCUUGGCCCGCAACCAUGACAUUAGCCCUUUACGGCUGGGCUUUGUCCACACGUGCCUAAACCAAAGCCAGCCUUUUGCGGUGAGCUUUGCGUGCACCCUCAGCCUGUUUCUCGAGCCUAAUUUGAUGGGUUUGAAGCAUGUUGUUGUCCCCCUCAUUCAGCCCAGACUAAAACCCAACUGCGGCUGGGGGAUCUCUUCCACCCCGUGGCCUGCAGCCAUCACCCGAGGUCAUUUUGGGCAUUGCCUUUUAUUCAAGGCACCCAACUCGAGCCCAAUUCCUUUUUCGGCAAUAUUUUUCAACCCAAUGCUAUUAUUUUAGCAUUCUCAAUAAUUUUAACCUGUAUAUUAAUAUUAUUUUUCUUCUACAAUCGACCCCAUAUGACCCAAUUUAUUGAAUUAAUUAAAAGUGACAUGCAGUCCAUUAGUCUGAUAAUGAAUCUAAAAUUAUUAACCUGUAGAUCACUUUUGGACAUUAACGAUUCAAUAAUUUAUUUUUAUACUUUGAACCGUCACAUACUUUCGUAGUAACGAAGUUCUCACACUUGAGUUCCUGAAGAACCUCAAAUCCACUAUAUUCAAAUUAGUAUAUUGCAUUCUGUGUUUCUUGCAGGAACCUCUCAUUAUGAACUAAUUGUUCAUAAAACUAAAUUGAACUUGUAGUUUCAAAUUUAGUGCCUUUGAAACCCGAAGUUUUCAUUCAUAACAUACCAUAUGAAACUUGUAGUUUUUAUGCAUAAAGUAAACCAAUACAUGUCUAUAGAACCUGUAUGUUCUAUAAUAUAUGUCUAUGGCUUACCAUAUGACUACUCACGUUUUCCCCUCUGUUUUAAGGACAUGUUGAACUUGAAUAAGCUUAAUUUCUCCGCUCUAGAAGUCUCCGGAAGAAACUAUCUGAAAUGGAUUCAAGAUGUGAAGCUCUAUCUCACUGCAAAGGGCAUUAAAGCCACCAUCGAGGCACCUAUCGCCGACAAACCUGUUGACAAAGGUCAGAAGGCUACUGCAAUGUUCUUAAUUCGAAGACACAUCCAUGAUGCAUUGCAUACUGAGUAUGGCACUGAGGAGGACCCAUGCAUCCUCUAGCUUGCUCUGGCUGAUCGUUUUGAUCACCAUAAAGACAUAUACAUGCCUGAAGCAAGACACGACUGGCAGCAUCUUCGCUUCCAAGACUUUAAGUUCAUGAAUAAAUACAACUCCGAAGUUUGUAGAAUUCGUUCUUUGUUGAAAUUCUGCAAAGUGGAACUCACCGAAUCAGAUCUGCUAGAGAAGACCUAUUCGACCUUCCAUGCCACCAAAAUUGUCCUGCAGCAACAAUAUAGGGCACAAAAAUUCACCAAGUUUUCGAAUUUGAUCUCUGUUUUACUUCUCGCUAGAAAGUAGAACCAGCUUUUGAUGAAGAAUCAUCAAGCUCGACCCAUUGGCUCAAACGCUGCACCUGAAGUGCAUGUGAUUUAUUCUAGUAGCCAUAAACGACGAAAGAAUCGUCGUGGCCAUGGCAAUGGGCGGCAAGCCCAACCACGGGCUUAAGGUCAACAGAGUGCCACACCUAAGGGAAGAAAUGUGACCCAGCAUCAUCCAUCACUUACCCCUAAGGCCCCAAACUUCAAGAACAAGGGCAAAGGUUUCGUUCAACCCGCUUCUACUGAACUGGACAUGUGAUAUCGUUGUGGAUCAAAGGAUCAUUGGUCAUACACAUGUAGAGCUUCCUCUGAGGCUAUUGCCAAGUAUCAUUCCCAUCGCGAGUCUAACUUUGCAAAUUUGGAUCAUCUGGAAGAUGCAACUACAUCAAUGGAAGUAUCGGAUUUUCAAGAAGCGUCAACACUUAUGCUUUUAAUGAUCUAGCAAAGGCAACAAGAUCACAUAUACCUGCUGCAAACACAUCUGCAAGGAUAGAUGUACCCUGUGUACGUCAACAACCCGCCUGGGAAGGCCGGACCGUCCCCUAAGGUGGAGAGGCCGCACCCUCCAUGCGGUAAGGUACAUUAACGGCUAGCCAAUCACCUACUACAACCCUGAAGCGUGGCAGACCCUUUGGUUCAAAGGAUUCACAACCCCAGAAGAGGAAAAUGGCACCAACUAGUGACCCUAGUUUGAAUCCGACCAUCACUCACUCAUUAGUUUCAACGCAUGAGGUUAUUCUAGGUUACAGUGAUUCUUUAGACGAAACAUGCCGGCAUCCCGAGAAUCGUGAGAUUUCGGUCCACUACAUAGUAUUAUAUGAAGUUUGGAAUAUGAAUGAGAUGAUCAUCGAUGAUGCAUUCUCGUACUCAGUAGCUACUGACAUCAUGCUUAGUGAUGGCAUUGAACCACGUUUCAUCGAUGAAUGCCGACGUAGAACUGAUUGGUCAAACUGGAAACAAGCAAUGCAAGUCGAACUCGAUUCACUAGCGAAACAUAAGGUAUUUAGACCUAUCGUUCCUACACCACCACGCGUGAAGCCUAUUGGUGACAAGUGAGUUUUCGUGAGGAAGCGUAAUGAGAAAAAUGAAAUAGUGCGAUAUAAAGCACGCCUCGUAGCACAAGGUUUCUCUCUGCGCCCUAGGAUUGAUUACGAGGAAACGUAUUCCCCCGUAAUGGAAAUUAUAACGUUCCGUUACCAAAUCAGUUUGGUAGUUUCUGAAAAACUGAAUAUGCAGCUUAUGGACGUGGUAACCACAUAUCUCUAUAGGGAUCUAGAUACAUAAAUAUACAUGAAAGUUCCAGAAGGACUUCCAUUGACUGGCUCAAAUAGUUCUAGACCACGGAACACUCGCUCAAUUAGGUUGAGGAGGUCACCUUACGGAUUGAAAUAAUCCGGGCAGAUAUGGUAUAACCGUCUGAGUGAAUAUUUGACAAGUUAGGGUUAUAUGAACAACGAACUAUGCCCAUGCGUGUUCAUAAAGAAGUCACAUUUUGGAUUUGCAAUCGUUGCAGUUUAUGUCGAUGACAUGAAUCUCAUUGGGACUCCCGCAGACGUUGAGGAAAUUGCUGCACACUUGAAAUCGAAAUUUGAGAUGAAGGAUCUUGGGAAAACUCGAUAUUGCCUCGGCCUGAAGAUCGACCAUUGUUCGGAUGGAAUCCUAGUACAUCAAUCGAACUACACCCAAAAGGUGUUGCGUCAUUUUAAUAAGGAUAAAGUGAAGCCUUCGAGUACACCCAUGGUCGUUCGAACUGUAAAUGCUAAACGAGAUCCUUUCCGUCCAAAGGAAGAUGAGGAAGAGAUUUUUGAACCUGAAGCUCCUUACCUAUAUGCAAUUAUUGUACAUGGCUCAGUGCACUAGACCUGACAUUUCCUUCGCUGUGAAUCUAUUGGCUAGAUACAUCAAUGCGCCCACACGCAGGCACUGGAAUGGUGUUAAAGACAUUUUCCGCUACCUUAAGGGUACUACGAAUUUGGGCUUGUUCUAUACUCAUGAAUCUCUACGUGUUACCGCCCCCUAUGGUACUUAGAUUGAUUCUCGCCUUGUUGGUUACGCAGAUGCUGGAUAUCUGUCUGACCCAUAUAGAGAACGUUUUCAAAUGGGUUAUGUCUUUACCGUUGAAAACACCGCUAUAUCUUGGAGGUCUACUAAGAAAACGCUAGUUGCGACUUUGUCUAACCAUGUUAAGAUUCUCGCCCUACAUGAAGCAUCGCGUAAGUGCUUUUGGCUAAGAGAAGUUAUGAGACACAUUCGAAGCACUAUUGGUCUUACAUCAGUCGUUAACCUUCAUACGACGAUCUUUGAAGACAAUGCAGCAUGUAUCGAGCAGUUGAAGAAGGGAUACAUUAAAGGAGACAACACCAAGCACAUAGCGCUAAAGUUUUUUUACUCACACCAGUAGCAACAACAUCAGUACAUUGAAGUCAAGCAAAUUCGGUCCUAGGACAACCUAGCCGAUCUUUUCACCAAGUCGUUGCCCAAGUCUACAUAUUAGAAGCUCGUCCAAGGAAUUGGUAUGUGUAAAUUAUCUUAGUUGAAUCGCUUGUAGUUCUUUUAUUUAGAAGAUAUGUCUGUGUCAGGGGGAGUAUCAAGAAGCAUACUCACAUGAUAUUAAUGUACUCUUUUUCCUACGAUUAGGAGCAUUUCUCCCACUGGGUUUUUGCUACCUAAUGAGGUUUUAAUGAGGCACCCAUCCUGGGAUGAUCAUACUCCGAUGAGUUCACUACCUUCGUCCAGUUUGACGUUCGUUUUAGAUAUUAUGCAUACUUCUCACUUUUCUCCUUAGUUUAUGGGUUUUCCCCAUGCCUUGGGUUUUACCAUAGCGAGGUUUUGUGAGUUUUACUACAAAUGCAUACUUCACUUAAAUUUGAGACUUGUGAUCACCCAUUGUGCCGAUGACUUCAUUAACUAUUCUACCUUAUAUGUUGAUGAUCUGAUACGAUGGUUUGUUGAGUAUUUACACUCAAGGGGGAAUGUUGCAGUCAUAUUUAGAAUUGGAAUGUGAUUGUGUAAAUCCUAGGAAAUAUGGGAAAGUAUCUUAUAUUCCUAUUAGAAGUAGAUUACCUAUUAAAUGUUGUAAUUCUAAAGGGAAAUGUUUUUACCUAUCAUACUACUAUAAAUAAAGGCACAAUAGGGUGAAUCAAACACACCUCACAAUUAAAUCAAUCUCUUUUCUCUCUAAUUGUGGCCGGCCCCCUCUCUCUCUAAACCCUAGAUCGUUUAAUCAAAUGGGCCUACAACAAAUAUAUACUUUUUAUGACUUUUUACUGACAAGGAAUAUAGGGGUACGGCAAAGUGGUAUUCAAUUAUGAUUGAAGAGUUUACAAAAUUCCAAUAUAUGCAUAUAUCACAUAAUGUAUAUUCACCUUAUAAAUAUAUAAUUGGAAUUGUUUGGUUUCUUAAUCUUUAUUAGAAAAUGACCUCUAAAAAAAAUCAUACAAAUCAUAGAUUAUGUAGUCGUUCAAAUGUUAUCAAAUAAAUUGAAGGUUCAUGAUGAAUAUAUUACUUGAUACUUGCCACCAAUUUUUUCUCCACAUUUGAAUGCAUAUACUUGGUGGUUAGAAUUUUCUAUUAAACCACAUUAGUAUUUCCUUGUCAACAAAGAUUCAACUAGAAAAAUCCACUAAGCCAUCAAUUCAAUUAUGCAUAUUUCUGUACUGACACAAUGGAAAUAUGACCGAUUUGUUUCAUGGGAGCUGCAACAAGUAAAAUAUAAUCAUAUGGCUAAUUCCCUAUAUCUAUGAUCUUUAAUUAUGGAAAGAGAUCCUCACCAAAUUCUGUUAAUCAACAAAUCCAGGAGGAAGGGCCAUUGCCACCAUCACCUCCCUCUUUGUCAUUUCUAAUGAUUGCACCUACACCACCAACCCUAAACACGGGUAAAAAAGCACCAUCAACAUUUAAUUCGUAAGAACCUUCAGCGUGCGAUAUCCAAUGAUAGUUAUUUUUGUCUGGAACAUGUACAGGUCGCUUAUUUACUUGACAAAAUUUCUCCAUUGUCUUUCGAUCGUAUAUUAUUUUUACUAGCAGAAUUUUUCCGAAAACCAGCCUUCAUAAUUAAUAGCAAACAAGAAAGGCCAUUUCAUCGGGUCAUAAGCUUUUGCCAUAACUAGUUUCGUAGCAACCUCUUGGGAGACUCCUCAUUCGUCUUCUUUCCCAUGAACUGCUAGAUUUCAUGAUCGCAUUCCAUCCGAUCAUCUUACUAAUUAACCCUUAACAUGUUGCACGAGUUUAAGUUGAAUCCAGUUUGGGUAAUCCAAGCUGCAACCCUAAACAGGAUUAGAGUAUUUUUUUUUAAUAAGACAAUAAUCUAUCAAGGGUUGAGGAUUUGUAUUAUGUUACACAAUAAGUCAGCCAUAAUAAUUAAAUAUCAAACAUGAGACCUUCAGCUUACAAGUAGAGAUAAUUAUCACUAAAACAUAAUAAUUGUUAUAAACUUCUUAUUUAAGUGUGAUUGUGUAAAUCCUAGAUUAGAUUUGAUUCUAAUUAUUCUUCCCUAUUAGGACUUGUAUUUCUUGGAGGGGAAGAAUUUCUUCUCUCUCUUAUUAAUAUAAAUAAAGGCACUGCAUUGGGGGAAUAACACAUUCUCUACACAACCCUAAAACACAUCUCUCUCUAUAUUCUCUUUGUGCCGCCAGCCCUCUUCCCCUGUCAGUUAAAUAUACACCACAACAGUUAUCAACACGCUUCUACCACUAUGCUUAGGAAUUUGAUGUAGAAGUUUUUUGCAUCAAACUAGUUCACCAAUAUCAUCAUGCAAUCAAGUUCUUUCAAAACAACGGUUUUUAUUUAGAUAUUUUUGCAGCCCUGAUAGCAUGAACAUUCACCAUAAUGCAUGACCCAACUUUACGUUUUUUGAAUUUUAGAUUCUACAUAAAUUGUGUAUGAAUUAUAUCUAUAAUUGUUGAAUUAUGUGAAUUUGAUAUUGCCAUGAAUUGGAUCAAAUAUCUGCUCAUGCAUUAAAUUAUUUUAUAUGAAUAUGCAUUGAAUUAAUCUGGAAUUGAAAAAAGAAAUUUAAAAGAUUUUUGAGGGUUUUGUUGAACACCCAUCCAUGUCGAUGGGUUUCUUUCCUGGAGCCAAGCCACGUCGAGCCACCAGCCCUAGGCAUACAGCCUGAAUGGCUAAGCCGAGUCGCGAGACCAUAGAGCCGGAGCCAUGGGCUCCUGGUUUUUGAAACCCAUAAAAACCCAACGCCUUCAAUGGCGUCUCUACCAUCAUAGGUGAGCCUGCAGCCCAACCAUUGACCUUGGGUCACCGUCCUCGAUAGCUUGAAGCUCGUCCACCGAUGUAGAUUAACUAUGAUUCCUUCGAAUCUCGUUGGAUUUUUUGAAAUUUCGAUUCGAAUUUCUAGGUUUUUGGUUGAAAUGUCGAGAUUUCUCUAUCUCCGUUAAUAUUCGUUAUCCCCAUUGACUUACGAACUUGCCCUGAGAAUUUUUUUCCCAAAACACGGUCUUCUGAAAUGGCGGCGUCGGUCUUUUUCCCCGACAAGCACACCCAACUACGAUUGGGGUGUUUUUGGUCCUAACCUGAGCCCAAUUGGGCCUUGUUUUUCUCAGCCUAAUUUUUUUUUUCUUUUGGGCUUGCCUACAGCAGCCCAAACCAUUAGCUCAGCCCAAGAGUGACACCAACCCAUAGGGCUAUGGUGUCACAUACACUUACGACACACCGGAUCUCAGCCCUUACUGGUACAUCAGUGUCCACAAAACACUCGAUCAGAGCUUGUUUGGGCCUCUGUCUUUGGGCUUGCACCUACAGCCCGUUUUCUGUGAUGCUGGGCCUACCUACAUGCUAGACCCGUGCCUACCCCAGCCCAGUUUUGGGCUUAGACUUCACGACACCAGUUCACUCAGCUUACCCAUGGGCUUUGGUCCAAAUUUUUGGACCCCGAGUUUUAAUUGCCUAUUUUUAGGCACUUUUUGGGUUUUAUAAUUUUUCACCCACACUUUAAAAUUUGGCCCGAAGUCCAAAUAAUUAAUUUUGUUAUAAUUAUAGACUUGAAAUUCUAUUUGCAUAUUUUCUUGUUGCAUAUUUCUGUAUAUAUAUUUAUGUUUGUCUGCGGGAACAUAUGAACCUAAAGUUCAUAAUUAUUUCAAAACUUGAAGUUUCUAGAAACAUGCCUUGUUUGAAAAUCUAAAGUUUUCCUUAAAAACAUCACCCAUGAAAACCCGAAGUUUUUUCAUGUCAAUUUAAACCAAAACAUGUAUAUUAGAACCUGAAUGUUCUACUCUUAUGUGAAUGAAUUGAUUUUUCUUCAUUACACUAACCACAUCUUGUCCAUUUAUUUUGUUAUAAGAACAUGUCCAAUUUGAAUAAACUUGACUUCAUCGCUUUAGAGGUUUCUGGAAGAAACUACCUCAAGUGGGUCCAAGAUGUGAAGCUCCACCUCAUUGCAAAGAAUUUGUGUCCCGCCAUUCAAGAUGAGACGGACAACCCAGUUGGUGAAGUUGAGAAAGCCACUGCCAUGAUCUUCAUCCGAAGAACAUACAUAAUGCACUACAAACUGAGUACCUUGCUGAGGAUGAUCCACGAGCGCUUUGGGUCACUUUAGCUAAUCAUUUUGAUCAGCAAAAGGACAUUUUCUUGCCUGAAGCAAAAGAUGACUGGCAACAUUUGUGCUUCCAAGACUUUAAGUUUGUGAAUGAAUAUAAUUUUGAAGUUUGUCGAAUCUGAUUACUUCUAAAGUUCUGUAACGAGACCUUAAUCGAAGAGGAUCUCCUGGAGAAAACCUAUUCAACAUUCUUUGCUACUAAUAUUGUCCUGCAGCAACAAUAUAGGGCUCAGAAGUUCACUAAGUUUUCCGGUUUGAUCUCUGUUUUACUACUCACUGAAAAGCAGAAUUAGCUGUUGAUGAAAAAUCAUCAAGCUUGACUUACUGAGGUGACUGCUGUGCCUGAAGCAGACUAUAGCACAAAAAUUCCCAAAAUGCCAAAAUAGGCAUGAUAGGGGCGACCACCUCGUCAAGGUCAAUAGAGCCAAGACCCAUCUAAGGGAGGAAAUCGAGCCUAGAAGCACCCUAACCUUACUCUCAAGGCCCAAAACUUCAAAAAUAAGGGCAAAGCACCUGAAACCAUGGAUGCAGACAUGUGCUAUUGCUAUGGUUCCAAGGACCAUUGGUCCAGUGUCUGCUGAGCUCUCCAGAAGGUUGUAGCUGAAUAUCAUUCUCGUCAUAAAAAAUUUGAAUCAAACUUUGUGUAAAUGAAUGAACUGGAGAAUACUAAGAUGGAGGUUUCUGACUUUCAGGAGGAUACCACCCCUAUGGAAGAUUAGAAUCUUAGACAUAAACUAUUUUCUAGUUAAAAUUUAGACAAUGGGGUCGAAUUCCACCUAGUGGCCGAACCCCCCUUGUUUUUGGGUUUAAUUUCGAACAAUUUUCCUUUAUGCUUGGAUUAUUUGUUGGUGAUUUAUUUUGGCCUAAUCGGAUAAAUGGUCCCCGUGGUGAUAAGGUAUUCGGAUGAUAACCCCUGUGGUAAAAAAAUUCGGAUUUAAACCCCUGUGGUCUAAGUCUGUUAGGAUUUAUGCCCUUCUGUUAAAUAAUGUUGACGUGGCUGCCAAAUGUCUGCCACGUGGCAAAAAUAAUAAUUUUUAAUUUUUUUUUAAAACCUGAAUUUUUACAAAAAAAAAAAAAAAAAAAACCCCAGAAACUCCCCCCGCCGGACUUCUUCUCCUUCUUAUUCCCGCCGGAGGCCAGCUCCCCCCCCCGCGCCGCGCGACCCUCCUCCCUCUCCUUCUUCAUUCUUCUUCUUCUUCCCGCCGGUCUCCCCGCGCGACUCCUCUCUCUCCCUCUUCCUUCUUCUUCUUCUUCUUCUUCCCGCCGGAGACCAGCUCCCCCCUCGCCGGAGCCCUCUCCCCGCGCCCUUCUCCCUCUCCCUCUCCCUCUUCCUUCUUCUUCUUCUUGCAGAUCUGGGUUUGUUUUUUUUUUUUUUUUUGUAAAAAUUCAGGUUUUAAAAAAAAAAAUUAAAAAUUAUUAUUUUUGCCACGUGGCAGACAUUUGGCAGCCACGUGGCAUAUAUGUGGCAGCCACAUCAGCAUUAUUUAACAGAAGGGCAUAAAUCCUAACAGACUUAUACCACAGGGGUUUAAAUCCUAACAGACUUAGACCACAGGGGUUUAAAUCCGAAUUUUUUUACCACAGGGGCUAUCAUCCGAAUACCUUAUGACCACGGGGACCAUUUAUCCAAUUAGGCCAUUUAUUUUUGGAUAUUAAGUUUUUAAUUAAUUACUAUCAUUGAAUACUUAAAUUAUUUUGAAUGGAUAUUUGUUUUAGAACUUUUAUGCAUGUGAACGAUUCAAAUUAAUUUUUAUUCUAGGCAUGACUAGUGGAAAAGUUAGUUGUUUGGCAGAUAAUGCAACCACGCACAUCGUUUUGCGUGAAUGAAUCUAUUUGACUAACUUUAUACUUAGGAAUGCACCUUUAACAACCCUCUCAGGCCCAUCCAACCUGAUCGAAGGAUACGGUAAGGCACAUAUAAUAUUGUCCAAUGGUACAAUCUUGACUAUUGAUCAGGCACUUUAUUCUCCACGUUUUGGAAGAAUGUUGCUGAGUUUCAAGGACAUUAUAGAUAAUAAUUACCACGCUGAAACCUAUGUAGAAAAUGGAGUUUAAUUUAUGUGCACAACUUCCUACGAAUAUGGCCAGAGUGUUUUCUUGAGAACAUGGAGCGUAUCUCGAGUGGUUUAUAUACUACGACCAUAAGCCCUAUAGAAAGUCACUAUGUGUGUUACGCCCCGAUCCCAACAUACAUCCCGGAUCGACACAUGACGUCACUAAGUAUCCGUAUCUCUAACAUACCCCGCCUUUGGGAUAUGUGCAAACACAACUCACGAUCCAACUACGUAGUAAUUUUUUAUACACUUGAUGGCUGCAUCUAACCUCCUCGUUAGAUUGCCUACGUACCCUACACAGGGAUCAAGCCAUUCGGGGAAGAAGUCGCGCAUCAUGAUGGCAACGAACGAUCUUCGUGUUGCAAUUUCAUCAUCCUCAACAUUUUCAUGUAGCUUUGGAGGUUAACGAGUGCUGCUUUGCCCUCUUUCCGAUUGGUGAACUUGUGAAAGAGAUGUAUGCUUCGUGUGCAGUUUCUUUGGAGUGACAUGAGUCCAUCCUUCAACUUCACUUGACUUAACUGACAUGGUUUUAGAGCAUGCCCUCAGCGGUUGAGGUGAAGAUUUUGAGUUGAAAGAGCCAGAAGUGACGGUGGUAUAGUUUGACUUCACCACAUCUUCAAGAUCUAGCUCGAUGAUUCCUUUCUGAGUCAGCUUCAUGAUGAGAUCUUUCAGCACGAAGCACUUUUCCUUCAGAUGACUGAUGAAACGGUGGAAUUUACAAUACCUUGGACUGUCAGUAUGAUUCUUCUCUUCCAUCCGUCUGCACUCAGGUAGGUUGAUCACCUUUUUUUCAAGCAAGUUUUUCAACAUGGCAACCACAUUAGAGUCGGGGAAUGGAUAAGUCUUCUCCUCAAGUUCCUUCAAAGUGCGUCUACACAUCUCUUGAUCACGAAAAGCUUCGGUUUGAAUCGCCUUACCUCGUUAUAGAUUUUGACUGGAGCUGUGUUGACCGUCAUUGCUUCCUUGGUGGGUUUCCAUGCAGCCUUAUCCACCUUUGGCCUAAAAAAUUUGUCGUUCUUGUAGUUGGCGAUCAGUUCUUUCUUCCCAUGAUGGGCGAUGCUUAAAUCCAUGUCAUGGGCGCGGGUGGCUAACUCCUCGAAGGUCCGUGGUUUGAUGUCUUGAAUGAUCUAGUGUAAUUCUCACUGCAUGCCUUGAACACAUAUCUCGAUCGAUGAGGUUUCUGAAAGUUUGUCUUUGCAGUUUAGACUUAGAGUGCAUCAUUGGUUGAUGUAGUCAACAACUGGCUCAUCCUUCCACUGCUUUGUAUUUGUGAGCUCCAGCAUGCUUAUAGUGUGGCUGAUACUGCAGAAACGGUUAAAGAAUUCCCACUCCAACUGCUCACAGCUGUUGAUGGACUCAGGCUCUAGGUCCGUGCACCAGUCGAAUGCAUUCCCAUUUAGUGAGCGGACAAACUGUGUUGUGAGGUAGUCUCCUUCAGUCAUCGCGUUGUUGCAAGUCUCAACAAAAUGAGCGACGUGUUGUUUUGGGUUUCCCUUUCUAUCAAACUGCAUAAACUUUGGUGGUUGGUACCCCAUCGGCAUCUGCAAGCUAUCAAUCUUUUUGGUGUAUGGCUUUGAGUAUAGCAGUGCAUUCUACGAAGUGCCUCUCACCUGUGUUCUGACAGUGUUGGCAAUCAUGUCCUGGAUAUGUUGUAUGGAAAGAGAGCCUAUAAGUGUCAUUGUUUGGUCUGGCUUCUCCUCGACUUUCUCCACCAGAGACUCAUCUUCUUUGUUGACUUCAUUCUUUAGUGGAUCAACCUUUAGGUCGCGGUCAACUUUUUCGUCAUGCUGCGCCUCCAAUCAGUUGAUGAGUGCGGUGAUUUGCAAGUCCUUCUCCUCUGCGGUCCUUGUGAGCCUUACAAUUGCUUCACUUAUUUAAGCCAGUUGUUAUUUAAUAGAGGUAACGCUGAUGGUCAUGACUUAGGCAACCAAAAGAUGCGAUUUUCCUUCAAACAUCCAGGGUGCUGACGAAGAACCCCGUUGCCCGUUUUGGGAUGUUAUCUUGUGCGCCUCAGCAGCAUGCUUCAGUGUCCCCAGCGAUAUCAGGUUGAUGACGGACUCGCGCCUCCUUUGUUCCUUUAGGGGUACCGAAUUUGAAGCGGCAUGUUGAGGAGCGGUUGUGAAGCUAAUGGAUUGUCAGUUUGCAGCAUAAAUGCUCAGGAUCCUUCCCUUGGUGGUUGCGAGAACGGCUUGUCCCUUGAUUGAUGCCAUUGAUUUUAAGGUGUGUUCGGAUUUCUUAACGGAAAAAGAGAUGAGAGGUAGAGAUUAUCCCAUCGGCCGUGCCAAAUUUGUAAACACUAAUUUUCCUGCGAUGAAACGAGACAAGAACACGUAUACAAAAUAAUAUUUGUAUUAAUGAUUUUGGGGUUACAAAGUGCAGCCCAUUUAUAGAGGUUUCACCAUACAAUCAAUUGGUAAUAUGGAGACUAAUGCAACUACUUGUAAGCACAUAUAAGGCCAUUCUUUCCACAAUAUGGGAUUCACUAUCAAAACAUCCCUCCACCUGUAGCAAAUUUUCAAGUCUAACACGUGGAAAACACAAACAAGGUGAUGUGGAACAUGUGGAACACAAAUAGGGACCUUGGAUGUACUUAUAAGUAGUUGGGCUACUCUCUAUAUUGACAAUUGGUUUUCACGGUGCAACCUUAACUUUUUUCAUAAUAUUAGAGCAUGUUGUUUCAUGUGUGAAACCCAAUGGCCACAUAUACGUGCUCCACGUCACCCUAUUUGUGUUAUACAUGUGUUAAGCUUGAAACUUCGCCACACGUGAGGAGGUGUGUUGAAAGUGAAUCCCCAAUUGGAGAAAUGAGGUUGCAUGUACUUAUAAGUAGUUUGACUCCUUCCUAUAUUGCCAAUUAGUUUUAUACUAGAAUCUCGACUUUCUUCAUUUACCGCUGUGAUGUGAAAUCCAGCAACAUUUUGCUCCAUGAAAAUUUUGAGGCAAGAGUUUCAGACUUUGGGGAUUUUGAGGCUGGUUAAGGAUAGUAUUGUUUUCUUUUUUUUUUGGAGAGGAAGAUAUGAUUUUGGUGUUGUACAUGAAGAGGGUACUAAAAAAAGAGAGGUUGAUGGAUAUUGUUGAUUCAGUUAUUAAAGAGGGAGCUGCCAAGCGAGAAUUGCGACGAUGAGGCACUGGGAUUUCUCGCACAAUCGGUACUUGAAUGAUAAGAGGCGCAUUCGGCCUUCAAUGAAAGAAGUUGCUGAUGUUAUUAUUCACAGGAUUGGCAUUGUUACGAGUUUUAUACCUGCACCCGAGUCUGUGAACAAGGUCGUGGUAACUAGUCCAAAUCCUAAUUAAAAAGAGUAUGGCUUAUUAAACUAUGACAUACCCCGAUCUGUAUAUGCAAGUGAACACCCGAAAUCGAGACAUGCGACUGACAUCUAGAAGAAAAAAAAAAAGAAAAAUUAAUUGAAACAAUUCCUUGUUGUCAAUAAAUGAAAACUUAUGGUCUAUUUGAAAACAAACGCCCCGACUAUUUAUACGUCCCGACUGUUUAUAAGUUUAGAUUUCAAAUAUACCAAGAGACCAAAUUUAUCAAAAUUCAAAUAUAGCACCAACCAAAUGUACACAUUUGACAGGUAACUAAAAAUACCGAUUAUCAGACGUAUCUAACAACGAGUUUUUGAACAUUUUGUUUGAUUUACUGAAAUAAGUAUUUGAAUAAACAAUAAAAAAAUUUGAAAUCACCAUAAUAAGAGGUACUUAAUAAUAAUAGGAGAAAAAAGGGAGUGCUAGUAAAGAUAUAACAAAAAAAAAUCUUAAAAAUUUACCAUUAUUAAAGUAGAAUGAUGAGGGUUCGAAACUAUUAUAAUAAUUUAAAGGUGGUGGAGUUUCGAAUAUAAGACACAUAGGUGGAAAACCAACGCUUUAUCCACUAGAAGCAUGAACUACAUGCUGAAGAAAUAAAUCUCUUAUAAAAUUAAAUAACAUGAAAUUGAUCACCAAAAUUUAAGGAAAAUAUUUAAUCAAAUUUUCACAAGAAAGAUACAAUUAGUCUAUAAUAUUUAAAAACGAGACAUCAUAUCAAAAUACCUCUCAAAUAGUUCAAAUGCUUUUUUACGAGGCCACCAAGUUGGGCACUUUCUCAAUCGCAAAGCCAUAGGCCCAUAGAUGAUAGAUGAUAGCCCAAUACUAAACUUAUAUUGCAUUUUCCUUACGAGUGAUGUUAAGUUCACCCCAGUGUCUUAUUUCCACACCCACUAUAAAAUGAUACUCUUAUGAUAUUCUUAUUGACAAAUUUAUCCUAGUGUAAAAUAACCUCUAAAGACCUAAAUACCUAAAGACCAACCAAUCAUAUAAAAAAAACCUAAAUUAUCAUAAAUAAGAAAAAGAAAAAAAAUAUAAUGAACCCCACAAGCUUUCCUGGGGAAGGAAGUUCAGAAAUUAAACUUAUUAGCAAGAUGGUGAAUUCGAACUUGACAAAGGAAAGCCUCGAGGCUCACAAUAAAGCACAUGUUGUGGAAGGGGUGAUCAAGCUUCACCAGAGAGUAGAGCAAGUUAGUAUUCAAGACUAUUAUAAUGUUGAGAUAGAUGAGAAGAGAAGCUCAUAGUCCAGAUUACAUUAGGGGACUCAUGGAUCCGACACUCGUUGAACUCUGAUCGUGUGUUGGUGUUUUGGAACAAUUUGGAUACCUACCAUAUACUGAAUUUGGAGGAAUUUGAUAUUAGGGAAAGCCAGUACAGCACCAAACUAUGAGUGAAGCUCUUCCAAUUUAAUCAUACUCUCUCUUGUAUGGUUUGAAUUCAAAUUGGAAACGAUAAAAAUUGGGUGCUGGAGCGAUUUUCGAGACGUGGUGGUGCUGCGAUGGUUGGCGAUAAAGGAGGGGCGCUUGGUGUUGUGGAUUUGGGGUGUCGAUAGUGACGGUUCUGCAAAUUUUCUGGGGAGAGGGCUGCUGCUGGUGAUACUUGGAGUUCUUGGGUAUUUUCAUUUAGUGAUAAUUGUUUUUUUUUUAUUUAUUUGUAAUCAUUUUUUUAAAGCAAGAAAAAAUUGAAAAAGAAAUAUGUAGAGUUAUUUUGGAAAUAAUGGUGGGUGGGAAAAGAGUUGAUGUAUUUUUUCACUUUUUAUGGUGGUGUAAAUAUAAGGUGAGUGCGGAAAUAAGACAUUGGGGUGGGCAUAUCACAACUCUUUCCUUACACCCCCAAGCAAAAGGGCGAAACCCUACUCCAAUUGCAAAAUACUAAACCAUCUGAAUUUUCAGCCAUAGCCGGACCUCAAAUGUCUCUCUCCUCGAAGCUCCGCAGGCCGUCCCACUCAGCCCUAGCCCCUGCCGUCCGAGCCGUUGGAUCAGCACCCACCCUUCACCACGGGAUGUCCACCGUCCCUACUUUCAGCCCUCAGUUCAUCCGGAGAAGCUUUGUUCCAGUUCAUCGAUUCUCCACCGCCGCUGAUCCAGCCGGCGAUCACAGUAUGAUCAAAUUCUUUGAGUCCCAGAUGAAGUAUGUCUACGACGAGAAAUCCAAAAAUCGGUAAGCGUAUAACUUUUAGUUUCCAAUUUUUACUCUUAAAAUUGCUGUUUUCUUACUUGGAAGUUGUCUUUUAAAAUCCAAAACCUACGGCGGAGUUAAAUCGGUGACCAUACCUUUCAUUUCUUUUUUCCUCGGUGACUUGGAUGAGAAGUUGAAGAAUGCUUUGCAUGAGUAUCUCGAGGAUCGAAAGACCGAGGACACCAGGAAGAAGCGUGAGGAGAUUUUGUAUUUCAAAAACAGUGGCAAGUCAGGAAAAAUCUUCUUCGCCCACAAAGAGAUAGCACGAGCAACCAACUUCUUUUUCAAAGACAACAUAAUCGGCUCCGGUGGCUUUUCUCAGGUCUUCAAGGGCACUCUUCAUGACGCACUAUCAAGCGCACCAAGCAUGGUGACACCAAGGACAUUGAUCAUAUUCUUAACGAGGUUCGGAUUCUCUGCCAGGUGAACCACAGGAGCCUGGUGAGACUCAUUGGCCGCUGUAUCGAGCUUGAUCAGCAACCUAUCCUCGUAUAUGAGUACGUUCCAAAUGGAACUCUUUCUGAUAUCUUCACUGUCGUCACAGCGGAAAAUGGGCUCCAAUUGGUUGGCGUCAUAGGCUCCGAAUUGCUCACCAAACAGCUGAAGGCCUUGCUUAUCUUUCACUCUUCUGCAGUGCAGCCCAUUUACCACGGUGACGUGAAAUCCAGCAACAUAUUGCUGGAUGAAAAUUUUGAGCCAAAACUUUCAGACUUGGGGAUCUCGAAGCUGGUUGAGGACAGAGAAACCAGCACUCAGGGGACUCCCGGUUAUCUAGACCCUGACUACCUCAGUAACUUUCAGCUCCCGGAUAAGAUCGACGUUUACAUCUUCGGUGUUGUACUGUUGGAGCUGUAGACUUCUCAGGAGGUUAUCGAUUUCAACAGACGAGAGGAAGAUACGAGAUUGGUGCCGUACAUGAAGAGGGUAUUGAAACAAGGGAGGUUGAUGGAUACUGUCGAUCCAGUUAUUAAGGAGGGAGCUAGCGAGCAAGAAUUGGAGACGAUGAAGGCGCUGGGAUUUCUUGCCCGAUCGUGCUUCAAUGAUCAGAGGCGCAAUAGGCCUUCAAUGAAAGAAGUUGCUGAUAAGAUUAAGUAUAUGAUCGGCUUUCUUACUAAUUUCGAGUCAUGUCCCUGCAUCCGAGUACCUGCGACAAGGCCGUGGUAACCAGUCAGAAUCCUAAUUCAGAAAGGUAUGGCUCAUCAAACUGUAUAAACUUUUCUAUUAUUCAACUGUCAUCAAGGUCCAUGCCUCGACCAAUCGAUACAUGUUUUCUAGCAUACCAAAAUGAAUGAACCCUAAGAAAUGAGUAAGAGGCAAAGAAUUUGAGGGAAGAUAUAUCAAGAAGCCCUUGUAGUUUCGAGAUGAUUAUUCAGCCAAACCUCCGUGAUCCAUCCGUCUCUUUGAAUCCUCGGGCCUUUAUAUAGUGGCACUACAAAGUUGACAAAAAUACACAUAACCAACAAACAAAAGUAAAACAAAACGCGAACACAAAGCUCAGUUACAUUGCAUGAUGGUUGAACGUGGGGUGUUGUCCACAUGCUCCGUUCGCACAUCUGUUGUGCACUGCAGGAGGCAAAUCCAUGAAAUAACUAAUGUGCAUGUAGUUCCAAGAUAUAAAUUCCAUGCCUAAAUCCCGGGAGGGCAGGCAAACAAGAAAUCAUAUUGAAUCUGUAGAACUGCUUCAAUACGUCUCUGUACAUUAAGUGGAUUAAGAUAUGAUACUGUUGAGGGUGCAACAUAAAAAAGACACAUUGAAAUAAAAUACGAGGUUGCUAAAUUGCCUCAGAAAAAACAAAUGAGGCAAGUUGCAGACUUUUCCAUUUACGAGUAAAUAAAUGAAUGCUGUAGCGUAAAUGUAUCAUCGGUAGAACUGAAAAACACAACCCUCUAAACUAAUGCCGAUAGGAUCCAAAACAUCACGUGAGAGGAUAUGGAAGUAAGGAUCCAGGUGACAAAAGCGAAGGAAACUGCAAGCAUGUAGCUACCACAUGGUAAACCCCAUCUACCUGUGCAGAAAUGAAAGUCUCUUACAAACAGAAUUGCAAUCCCUGAUGAAGAGCUUGCAGCAGCCAGUGAUAAAGUAGCUGUUACCUGAAACAUUUAAAUUUGGAUUUAUUUCAGCAGCCGGUAUUCGACCUCAAACGUACACAAGACAUAACAUCAGCCAUAAGGGAUGUGAAAAGAGUUAAAGGGACGAGUGACAUACCCAAUCACCGACAACAAAUAGCCUCACUAGUAAUUUAUUUUGAAGGUCUCUCUUUUUGCUCAAAGCAUAAAUAUCAAGACAAGCAAGCCCCAAGCUCCAUAGCACUUGAAGUGCCAUCGACGAAACCAAAUAGCUGAACCAUAGGACAGAGAUCAACACGAAGCUUUUGCAGAACAAUUAACCACCAGUUAUUGAAGAAAAGAUUCAUAACCUAUCUGAGAUGGAAAACUAUGAGAAACAAACAAAUUUGGCAAAUUGGUUUCACUUUGCUUAUGUUUAAAUCUCCGAAAAACUUUCAAAAAUACAAAGCAAUGCACAUGUCGAUGACUAGUGUACCGAUAAUUUCUGCACUCGUGUAUCAACAAGGUCAGUGGAUUAUGCACUAAUCUCAUUCUAAGGUGAUACAUAUAGUUCUAUAACUGUAUGCUAAUUCUGUAACUCCACCACUCGUAAACAGUAACGCCGAAAAUUUCUCAGGUUGAUCUCCUCAGUGUUUGAAUUUCAAUUUCAACUAUCACGGCCGGAUUCGGGUCAUAUAUUUACAUGUCAAUAAAACAUAAGCAGCUUAAACCAGUCAAAAGCAGUUCACCACUGUAACAGUCUAAAUCCUAAAGGCAAUUAGAUACCAAAUUUCAAACCAAAACUUAUAAAAUUCAAUAAAAAUAAUUAGGAAAACCAAUAAAUAAUGACUUCUGGUAAAUUAAAGUGCAAGAAAAUGAAAUAACGGAACAAAAAACAAUAAAUAAAAAUACCAGAAACAGGUGAAUUCAGCGAAGCGGUCGGUGGUGACCAUGACGGCGAUGGCGAUACCAGCACAUGAAAAUUGCGAUACCCUCAGCAGCAACCCGCUCACAGACCCAGGUCUCCCGAGCAGCUCCUUCAUUUCUGAACCGGAUCGAGCAGAGAGUCUAGAGAGAGACAGGGGAGCGAGAGAGAGGGCCCUAAAAUCCAAAACCCUAAACCUCACGCUCCUCCCAUACGGCUUCCAUCUCCCCCAAUCUCCGCCAUGAAAUCCUCCACUUUCCGAUUUCAAUCGGAGGAAACGGGUGUCGAAAUCGUUGAUUGGAUUAAGUUGGAUUCGGGAAGAUCCAGGGAAUCCCAAUCAGUGGUUCUGAUCGAUUUGAUUUCUUUGAUUCCAAAUUAGGAAAUCGUCGCAUUAAAGAAACCCUAAUGUUGAUUUAUGACUGAUCUUGGUUGUUUAAGGACGGAAUUAAUGUCCGGUCGUGGUGGACUCGAGAUAUCGAUUGAGAGUUUUUCAGCGAUUACUAAUUAAUUAGCUUGUGAGGUUGAGUAGGGCCCAUUGACCGACACUUCCUACGUGGACUCCUUUUUCAUGUUACUCGCUGCGAACGUGUACAUAUGUGGGAGAGGAAAUCGUGGAUCCAGCAUCACGUGAACGGACUUGUAGAGUUAUUUAAUAAAAAAGGGUAAUGAUAUAAAAACUAAUCAUUUAUUAAAUUUACAAAAAAAUAGAUGUGUCAUCACUUUGAAAUAAGCAUUAAUUAACAUUGAGUAAUAAAUUCAGUCAUCAACAAUCACAUCAUUUAGUUUAAAAAUUUAGUCUCCUUAACAUUAUCCAGUAAAAUAUCGUCGUGAUGGUGGAUUAUCCAAAAGGAAGAAGGUGUAUGUCUUUUGUUGAGAGACUGGAUCUAGAGACCAAGUGAAGGGGUAGACUGUCCGACUCAACAUAUACACAUGUUACAUAUUGGUUUUUAUUAUUUAUUCGAGUCUUUGAUUGCAUAAUCGUAACCAUGUGGCAAUGUUUUAUUGCACAGUUGGAUAAACAUAGGUAGUAUGUAUUUUAAUUAGGAAUGUCUCGGCUUCGAAAUUAUUACAAUAAUCUAAAAAAUGAGAGAGUUUCAAAUGUGUGACGAAUGGUAGAAAACUCAACACCCUAAAUCUCACAGUUCAUCCCGAAAUAUCAUUUAUCGCGAAUGUCAAAUGACGGAAUUACCCUUAAUGGUUGCUAAGGUUUGUGUGACAUGUUAUUUGAAUAUUGCAUACUCUCCUAAAUUCUUGGAAAAUUUUAAGUGGAUUAAAAGUUGUAUACAAUUUGUGUGGUUAGGGACUUAAAGAAUUUUGGAUUGUGGUUUGUUUUGGGUGGACCACACACACACACGGCACACGCACACUCACCCCGUGCCCUAUCUCUCCUCCCUUUCAGUUCACUCUCUCUCUCUCCCUUUCGAACUUGUACGGACAAGAACCAAACCCCUCAAAACUUCACAGAUCGACGUCAAAAAGGUGAGUUCCUUCAUCCUUACAACCUCCUGAAUCGAUUGGUACUAUUUUUAGAACUGGAAACCCUCGAAAUCACGUCGAAACCGUAACCCAGUUUGAUGUCAUUGUUCAUGCACACGUGAAAUGUUGGUUUUCAGGGAAUUCUAAGCCUACAAGUAGUGAGGUCCCUGUUGGAAAUUAUAUAUUAUAAUAUAAAAUAUGGUAAUAUAUAAUUUUAAUAAUUGAAUGAAAAAUAGUGUUAACCAAUUUCUUAGAAAGGUUAUGUUGUUUAGGUGUAUUCUCUUGAUAAGUGAUGUAUACUUAUAGAUGAAAAGUUACAUUUCCUUAACAAAAAGUACUUGGGUUCUAUAUAAACUCAUGAAACCAUUAUCACUAAUAUAUAGAAAAUUAGAGUUAAUUUUUACUCUUGAGAAAUAGGGUUUCCCCACUUUGUUUCUCAAAUGAUUUGUGUGUCAAAUUCCGAGUUGUGUCUUAAGAGUACAGAAUAUAUGAAGUUCGCCAGAGUCCGAAGAUUGAAGUGCUUUGACUUCGGAUUAUAGAUUGUUGAAUCCUGGGAGAUGGACGCCUACUGAACUACAAGCACAAGAGUAUGGGCGAAAUUCUAUCUUUAGGACAUUGCAUUUAUGCAAGCCUCAAUCUCCAAGUUUGUCAGUUAUUCUAACUUUCUCUUUAGUUGUUUAUAUUAAUCUCAUAUAUAAUUGAUGUUGUGAAAUUUCUUUAUGAUUAUUAUCAUUGGAAUUAUAUUGUUAUUUUCUCAUAUUUUCUAUUAUUGCUCCAAAAAUCUAAAGAUAGAAUUUUAUAUCUCUAUGCAAUUAGAAAAUAUGAGUAAAGCCUAGGGCUUUAGAGAUUCGCAAUGAAAAAAUAUUGUAAAGAUAGAUCAGGGAUAGAUUAUGUGUUGAAAGUUGUAUAUAUAGUACACAAAACAACACAAGAAUUUUGGGAUUUAUUGAUGAUGAUGAUGAUGAUGAUGAUGAUGAUGAUGAUGAUGAUGAUGAUGAUGAUGAUGAUUAAGAUAGAAGGUUAUUUGUCUUAUAUAUAUUUAUUAGAAAUUAUAAUCUAACUGCUUUCAAAUUAAUGUCAGUUUGAAUUUAACUUCUUUUGGCAGUCUGGGCAUAUCGCCUAACUGGCAAUGUUUAAACGUUUGAGGCCUGAUAAAACUAUUUUGCAUGUCGCCCAAUUGGCAGUGUUGUUGUCAAUUAUGUAAAUUCUAUGAUAUAAAUUUCGUGUAUGGCUGUUACAUUAUAUGCAUGUUUAUAUAUUAAACUGCUUCCUAUAUAGAAAGGAUGGAGAUUCUUGUUUCCAGAAAGACACAGUGAUAACAAUUUUUAUCAUGUGGUUGCUGCAAUUUUUAUGUGGUCCAUUUAAAGAUCAUAUUCAGUGUGAUUGCUGCAAUUUUUAUAAUGUGUUUGCUGCAAUCUUUAUCAUGUGUCUACUUUAAAUGAAGAAAGGUGUCGGUUCAUGCCAAGUGAACACCAAAGUGGUGUACUGGAUCCAUACCAGUUAAUGAAAGAGUUCCUUUUACAGAAAGGAGAUGUGCCGAAAUAGAGAAGUUUGGCAUUUGAAAUACGCCAAAUGCCAUUGGAUUUUUCUAUUAAAAGGAAUGUAAUGGUUUGUUUGAUUCUAAUCAGACGCAUCCAUGAAGGUUUUCUUUAUGAAAAUAUAGAAUAAAAAUGUUGAUUUGAAUUGGUAUAUCUCACAAGCAAUGCAUAGUUUGCAUUCUAAAUGCAGACACGUUGUGAAAGAGCAAACUUCGUAUGGAUCAUUUGGUCCAAAUGAAUGAGCAGGUUUCAGAAGUUGUCUCUCUUCCAUUGGUGUAGAUAUAUGUGUAACCGCUCGUCUGAAUAAGUUAUCAAUUGCUUGGAGACGCCAUUCACCAAACUGGUAAUCUACAACCAUGGUGGGUCAGUUGGCAAGUUGUAUAUAUCAAAGUGAAUUUGAUAUGUGAGUGGUUUCAUGGUGAUCUGCAAGUGUCAUGGAAAAUUGCCAAUUGUGAAAUGAAUCUUGUGUUAUUCUCACAUGAUCAAUUCAACGUAACGAUAUGAGGAGAUGUGUCAUUAUGAGACAAAAAUCUCUGCGGUAUGUAUUUUCAAUAUGCGCAAGAGGCAUGUUGGAUUCUCAAAUACAUAAUUUAUAUGAACACGCAUGCUGGUCAAGUUUUGUCUUUGGACAAAUUAUAAGGAUUAGCUAAUUAACAUCGAUGAAGGUAUUACUUUGACAACUACCGUAAAUUAUGAAGGUCAUAAUUUCACCCUACAUGUUAGUCAUGAUGAUCGAGUUACCUGCAAGCAAGGGUUAAUCAUUUCAGAGUGAAAGUAUCAAAGUUCAAAGGUUGACGGCAAAGUGCCAAUACGUGCUUAUACAAAUAAGGCUAAUGAGGCUUCAAAUUCUGGAAGUGAAGAUAGACAAAGAACCUAUCUUUCUCAUUUUCUUCUUAAAGUGGAAAAUGUGAUUGAUUUAAUGAUAGCAUUGCAAGAAACUACAAUUAUGAAAGAAUUGUAGGGGUUGGUUAAAAGUAAUUUGCUAAUUGAACGACAUUUAAGAUGUCAUCUCUUGUAAUGAGUAAUUGUUUAAGGUAUGGCAAGGUUAGAGAUCUUCUUACAAAUACCUUAAAUGUGGGGGAGUUUACCCAAGUGCUUAGUGUUAGCAAAUUACUUAAUGAAGUCCUAAUAUAAUUUUGAGGACUUGACAAUGUCAAACAACUAUUCUCGUAUGAAAUAUAAUUUCAUAAGAUGAAUUGUGCAUUCCAUUAAAAAUAGUCAACCUAAUAGUGGAUCCAAUUAUUAAAGGUUAGACUAGAGAGUAAGUUGAUCAUUGAAGGGAAUGAGGCUAAAGCCAACAUAACUAAUGAAUCAGCCGAGCGAAACCUAACUUAGUUGAUUGGAGAUCCCAUGGUCUAAGUUCAAUAGGAAAACUGGUUGGGCAUUAUUCAAAGAAGUUAACACAUUAUAUACCUCAUUCCUAUGAUAGAAGAAGUGUGUUGUCUGUAAGAAGUUUUAGGUUGUAUAUUUAUACUUAAUGACAUUGAUAUCUUAUAAAUAAGAGGAAUAGAGCAGACUAUUCUUAAUCAGUGGUCACCUAUAUGAGAGUAGAAGUGAGUCGCUUCUAUGAGAAUGAGAUGGCUAAAUUCUCUAAAGCUCUCAUGAAUCCGGGAUUUAUUCAGGACCAAAAUGAACACAACUGUAUGAACUGGAAUAUAUUAGGAUUAGUGAUGUGUGUUGCUUAUUGUCUCGGUUUACUGCUGCGGUGAACAGUUCAAGAUUUUAUAUUCACUGCAUCACCAAGUAAAUCCGAUAAGUAUUCACUAGGGUAGGUUCAAGUCCAAAAGACACCUCUCCUGAUGCAUCCCUUGUCCACCUGUACUCCCAAAUUCUUCCUGAUUUUCAUUCAUGUGGGGGAUUGUUGGAAAUUAUAUAUUAUAAUAUGAAAUAUGGUAAUAUAUAAUUUUAAUAAUUGAAUGAAAAAUAGUGUUAACCAAUUUCUUAGAAAGGUUAUGUUGUUUAGGUGUAUUCUCUUGAUAAGUGAUGUAUACUUAUAGAUGAAAAGUUACAUCUCCUUAACAAAAAGUACUUGGGUUCUAUAUAAACUCAUGAAACCAUUAUCACUAAUAUAUAGAAAAUUAAAGUUAAUUUUUACUCUUGAGAAAUAGGGUUUCCCCACUUUGUUUCUCAAAUGAUUUGUGUGUCAAAUUCCGAGUCGUGUCUUAAGAGUACAUAAUAUAUGAAGUUCGCCAGAGUCCAAAUAUUGAAGUGCUUUGACUUCGGAUUAUAGAUUGUUGAAUCCUGGGAAGAUGGACGCCUACCGAACUACAAGCACAAGAGUAGGGGCGAAAUUCUAUCUUUAGAACAUUGCAUUUAUGCAAGCCUCAAUCUCCAAGUAUGUCAGUUAUUCUAACUUUCUCUCUAGUUGUUUAUAUUAAUCUCAUAUAUAAUUGAUGUUGUGAAAUUUCUUUAUGAUUAUUUUCAUUGGAAUUAUAUUGUUAUUUCUCAUAUUUUCUAUUAUUGCUCCAACAUUCCCAAGGAAGCUCGGAGUACUUAGUUUGAAGGUUUUGGACGUCGGGAUCGCAGGGUUCGAAGUUGGCCGGUUUUCUUGGAUUUUCUUCAGUGAGAUUUCGUGUGUUUUUUAGCCUUAAAUUAGUACAUAGUGAUUCUACAUGCUCAGGGCUUCAUUUUGGUAUAAAUUGCGAAAAAAAAAUGGUUGAGAAUUGACGGAGAAUAAGAAGUUUGAAAAUAACCCCAGAAACCGGCGACUUUUCCGUCGCCAGCGAAACCAGUCCGGCAACUGGAGGUAGGGGAUGACGCGCGUGGGGGCGCGCGUGAGGGCGCGUGAUAGAUCCAAAAAUGUUUCUAAAAAUAUCUCAACGUCCGUGACGUCGAGUAGGUCACUGUGGUAUAUUCAUAUACCCAAAUUGAGCAUCGUAUGAGAAGUUAUUACGUAUUGUUGGUUGUGUGCUUUAAAAUAACAUUUUUAUAGUUGUUUUGCAUAUAGGUGAGACCUAUCCUGAGGACGAGCGCUUUCAAGGGCAUCACGGGGGUUACGACCCUUCGACAUACCAAUGAGUGGGCAGUUAUUUUUUGUUUAUACCUAUAUACUACUGAUUUUUCCCAUAAAUUGAAUUUAAAGGGAAGUAGGUUUUAAAAUGCCUUGCAUACAUAAUAUAUGAAAUAUAUGAAUUAGUAUUUGAUGCAUAUAUAUGAAAUGGUGUUGUGGACGCACAGGUGAGUCUCAGGUGAGUUUUAUGUGUUCAUGUGAAUUAUUAAUGAGAUGAAUUGUGUUGAGAGCUCAUAAUAUGCACCCCUGGUGUUAGUGCUUAUAUUAUUCACCCCGCACCACACGCUCACCUUGGAUCCAAGUAGGUGCAUGCCGAACAGACCAUUAGAGGUGGUUCCGACUUGUAGGUGACUUUAGAUUAUUAUACAGCUGUUGAUGAGAGAAGCACUAGAGUGUAUUCUUACACCAUUCUUGUCGUACAGACUACUUCAGGUAGUUCCGAUUUAUGUGCAGAAUAGUGCCGUACAGGUCACAUUGGUGACUCCGGUUGGGUUGGAUAUUGAGGUAUAGAAUUAACCGUACAGGACAACUGCAGGGUCUUCGGUUGAUUCAUUAUUUCACCUGUUAUAUUGAUGCAUCCUUAUCAUGUUUGAAGCAUAGCAUGGCAUAUUUCUUGAAAAGUGUUAAAGACUUGUGAUUUGAGUUUUGCUGUUAUAUAUGGUUAUAUAUAUACUAUUUUUCUGGGAAAGUAUACAGGUUUUACAGUGAGGGGUUAGAAAUGUUGUUAAAUGAAAUAUUUUCGAAAAGCUUUGUUUUACUAACCCACUCAAUCUUGUUUUGCGCCCCUCCAGGUUUUAGUUAGCAGUGUUGGUGGCCCACGAGGAUUCCCACGGCGUCCUGACAGAUUACUUAAAUGUAGGACUCACCUCCGGGUGUUGUAACUUAGUAAUGGUCCUACUUGACUGCACUUAGUACUUAUACUCUAAAUAUGUGUGUUUUACACUUAAACUCACUCUAGCAUGUUAGUUAGAUAUUAUUGCUAGUAGUUGGUUUUUACUCCUUUGUAUUUCUUUUAUCUUUUGCUUCCGCAUCGCACUUUUGGUUACGUCACGCCCACGUGACGGCCAUCACACAUUGAUUCUAGGAUCAGGAUGUGUGUCGUUUUGGUAUCAGAGCAUAGGUUUGUAGUUUUGUAUAAAUUGUGAAUGCUCUAAUGAUCUUUUGGUGUCUUCUAUCAGAACCAUACCACCUCGUAGGGAAUCACGUCGUGCUCCUGAGCCUAAUUUCCCUGACAUAACUCAAUUAGGGGAAGCGAUGGCCCAUGCCUUUCAGACUGCAAUCCGUUCUCCUUAGAGAACAGCCCUGAAGACUAUGUACAAUCUGAAAUUAGACCGCUUAAUGGGUAAUGAGGGUCAUGAAGGGGCAUAAAAGUGGUUAGACCAUAUUGAGAAGACCUUUUAGGUGAUGCAGAGUCAAGGGAAUCUUCCUGCUAGUAGAUGGGUCGAGACCACUACUUGAUUUUUAGAACGAGAGCCAGCAGCUUGGUGGGUAAAUCAAACUCAGUUUAUGUCACCUGAAGCGGCAACUGAUUGGGAAGUAUUCAAAGAGAAUUUUAAGAAAAUAAUUGUUCCCCCGAAGUACAUUGAUCGUAAGAAGUAGGAGUUCACUCAAUUGAAGCAAAAGAAUAUGUCGGCGCAUGAGUAUUACAGGAAGUUUACAGACUUAUCCCGUUAUGAUCCUGAUACAGCUGGUAAUCAGGUAGAGAUGCUUUGCCGUUUUAAGCAGGAAACUAAGAGGAAAUGGCGGACGUUCGCUAGUGUGAUUCCUUGCAUCACGUACCAUGAGUUUUUUGAGAUUUUGGUUCGGAUGGAGGAUUCCAAAAAUCUUCAUAGUGAUAGUGAGGAAGAUGAAGAUAAGAAUAAUAAUCAGAAGAAAGAUGACAGGGGUAAAGGUAUCUCCAAUCAGGGACCCCGUAAGACACAGAAUUUCAAGAGAAAUGGAGCGAGCUCAAGUUCUUCCAGCGGAGGAUUUAGUGUCACAGGCCCGAGGAGAGGUGGAAGAUUUACUAAUGGACCCAGGUUUCAGAGACAGAGAAACUUUGGUGGUGCUGGUGGUUCAGGUCCUCCGUUAUGCCGCCGUUGUAAUUUCAGACAUCAUGGAGAGUGUAGGAGAAAUGGCGGUGGUUGCUACACUUAUGGACAGAUGGGACAUAGAGCUGCUCAGUGUCCCCAGAGUCAGCAGAGGCCUCAGCAGUCUGCUAUACCACCUCCAACGCCGAUUCAGCAGAACUUUGGAUCAGGCAGUUAUGGUCAGACGGGUCGUGGUGGUGCUUACCACUAUCAGGGUGAUGCUGCUCCCUAUGCUUCCGGAUAGAAUCAGUAUUCCCAGGAUCCUUAUUUUCAGACUAGGUAUUCCUCAGAAAGUUCCCUGGAAACCCACCUUGUGCUCCUUGAGUAACAUAAUCAACACCAUAUCCACUUUGAGAAGCCUGUCAAGCAUGCUAGCAUCAUGUCAGUUUUAAUUUUUCGAAUACAUGACUAAUUCUGCAAUUGCAAGUAAUAGAGGUUCUUAAAUUACAUAACAUAGUACAUUAGGAAAGUAAAUGGCGCAGACACAAAAAGGGCAAGGGAAAAUCCUCCUAUAAAUAACCUUUUCCUUUCAAUUUUUCUUUUGCAUGAUGUAGGAAUUCUUCUUCCAUGUGAAAUUAAUUCAUCGAAAAUGUAAAAAAAAAAGGUAAUUAAUGAAAAACAUUGUCCAACAUCCUUCAACAAACCACUUAAGGCAUAGCCCAAAAACACAGGCUAAAAAUGCAUAUUUGGUCACUAUACUUUGCCUCUAUUUCAUUUUCGGUCAGUGUGUUUGGUUUUGCAAGGAAUUUAAAAACAAUUUUGAAACUCUGGUAAUUAACAAGUUAGAAUCCAGAUUUUAAUUUUGGAAAACAAUCUGUCUGUUUUCAAGAAAAUGUUGCUAAGGGACUGAAAGACCACGCUAUAGGCCUCCUAAAACUACUUACACUUCUCGGGUUUAUCCACUUUGCAUUGUGAUAAAAUUGCUAACAAAAAUUGAAAUACAGUGACUAUAUUGAUACAUUUAAAACCACAGGACCAAAAGUGAUUUUGAGUCAAAACACAGUGAACAAAAAUAUAUUUUACCCAAAAAUUAAAUCCAGAAAUACACUGCAGAAACAAACAAAUAACGUAUGGCCCAGCAUACACUAAAAAUACAACAAAAGAAAAAGCACCGCAACUUCGUACCUGAGUGGAGAAGUCAGCAACAUUAUACGGAACAUGUGAUCCCUGACUUUUAAAGUCAUCACCCAAACAUUCCUGGCAACAUAAAAUCAAACAUGAAAUUAAAAAAUGAAUAUCAACAUGACAAGUUACUACGAACAUCAUGUUUAGUACGAGAAAAACCUGAGACAUGCCCGCCAUGGAAAAUCCAUCACGAAACGUUUGGCUUGGCCCUUGAACUGGCAUCUGUUGCAUACAACAAAGAAGAGCACAUGCAUCAGGCGGGAUGAGGGAACAAGAUCUAGGGGAGAAUUGGUACAUGAGAAAAACAGAUGGAUAAAAUGGGCCGGUACAAACAUUAUUGACAAAUCCAUGUUGAGAUAAGGGGCCACCAACAGAUGGUUGGCUAUUUGGAUUUUCAAGAGAAGGAAUGUUGAAGGUAGACCCCAUAUUCCCAACAUUUUGUUGUGUGCCUUGCUGGUGCGGAAGAUGACUGCCAAUUGGAGAACCGGCAUUCCCACGUCCUGCCCCAAAACCACGACUUCCAGGUUGAGGGACAUGAGGAACAGCUCCAACUGGUCCAUGCACAGCUCCACGAGUUGGAAUAGCAUAAGGUUGAGAAAGGGGUCCUCCAUGAAAUGGCGAAAGAGGUGCCCGAGGUAAUGGAUAUCCAGCCGGAUGUACACCAGGCUGGGUACCAUUGGUGGGCCAGGAGGUAGGUAAGAACCUGCUUUUGGCAUAAACAAUUUAUAAGGAUGAAAGACAAAUCAUUAUUUUAGAAUACGAGACCAGUUAAGGUUUUCUACUUAUUUAUUGGAUUAAAAACUUAGAACUCGGGGGUUAAUUAUUUUUAUCUAUUUCCUUGUCUAUGUGGGAUUAAUUACUUUUAACUUUUAAAGGGAAAAAAAUUAACAUUUCAACGCAUGUGAAACCGUUUAUUUGAAUCACCAUAUCAAAUGAACCCAAGUUCAUAUACUAAACACUAACAUAUCAAUAACCAUUACGUUAAAAGUGUUGGCUUCAAUUUUUCAUUUAGAUUUCUUCCCUUUUUCAUCCCUACUACUUUUGUAUUUGGUGGAAUAGGAAAAGUAAAAGAAAUAUCAAAACAAAUAUAACAAGAACACCAUCAGAGUAAAAUGGAAAGCGUGGAGAAAACAAACAAUGCACUUCAUCCUACAAUUCCUGGAGAAAGAAGGUAAAAAGGGAAAGAUAAAAGUACUAACAUACCCCUACCCCGAUUACUUCUUCUAUCAGCACUUUGGCCAGCUGAGGCAACAGACCCAUAACUGUCAUUGGGGAUAACUCCAGGACCACCACCAUAGAAUAGGCGACGAUCAUUGUAGAUCUGUGUCAACAUAAGAGCAAACACAACAAAUUUACAUCCAUCAUAAAUUGGUGAUCUCAUAAUUAAGAUCCAAAUCCCACAACAGAUUAAAAAUAUGAGUACAUCAAAAGAAAAAGCAUGAAAACUUAAUUUUUGCCUUCUCUGCUAGUGACAUACCUUUUUAGGCUUUGGAAAUUGCACCAUACUCUGCUUCAGGUUAUUUAGCGGCCCCUCAACCAAGCACUCGUGUUCCUAACGGUGUAUAAAAUGUCAGUACUAUGGAAUGCUAAAGUCUGUAUAUCAACCCAUACAGAACAAUCAUUUUUAAUGGGCACAUGACAAUCAAAGAAAGAAGAAAAGGUGAAUAAAAUAAACAGGAGGAAAACAUAAACAAAAUUCGCAGUACAUCAUUAAUUAGCAGUAACAAAUAUGCUGCCAGCCGUACAAGUAUUAGCCAGCUGCCACCAAUCAUUCCCAAUAUGACUUCUUUCUUUUGGAAACUACAAUUGAGCGACUCACUAUACUGCUUUGGUAGUACACAUAACUUUAUCUAUAAAUGGACACACUACAAACACAAUGAACCAGAGGACCUAAAAGGACUUGAGAAAAACAGGACGAGAACAAAAAAAAUACAUAUCUAGCAGAAAAAAUUGGUCAAGUUAAAUAACAAAAAAUACUUGAGAAAAACUUAAGUCUUUUUCUAUUAGCUGGAAUAAAAAACAAAAGGCACAGGUCAACACACACCAACAAUAUCAAAAUUACAGAGAACAGUUAAUACCUUGUAAUGAGUCAACAGGCUAUUCCACAGUGGCUGCUUACUAAGAACUUUAGGGUUUCCAAGAAUGACAAUACCAUAUCGAGCGCGUGUUAGAGCAACAUUGAGCCUGCGAGGAUCAUUAAGGAAUCCGAUGCCCUGAAAAAGGAGUGUAUUAGCCAGGAAUCCUCACCCCCCGCCGCAGCAGGGAAAUAGCAACAAAACAAUUCAAAUGUAUAUUGAUAACAGAAAAAUGUGCAUACUUCACACAAGUGGUUUUAUGAACUCACCUGAUGCUCAUUACUCCUUACACACGAAAGGAUGAUAUAAUCCUUUUCCCGUCCUUGAAAUGAAUCUACGCUGGCAACCUGUAAUAACAUAAACAAUGAAGCAAUAUAGACAAAAUAGGUCAAGAGCAAAGGCUUCUACAUGUGAUGAAUAUAUUACCUCAAUUUCCUUAUAAAGUUGCUGUCUGAGAGCACCAUUUCUCGACAUAUGGUUCACAAUAUAAGCUCUCUGUCCCUCAUAUGGUGUGAUCACUCCAAUCUAUAAAGUGUAUUUUUAUUAAAUUAAUGAAACAUGGAAUCCAGAUAUAAAAUGCUAAACCCAUAAGGAAUGUUGUAGGUUCACCUGACUAGGGACUACGCCACUCCUCAAGAAUGUUGUGACAAUCUUUUCAACGUUAGCAGCCUCAGUUCUGUUCAGAUAGGAUGUUCCACUAGCACUUAUCUCCUCUUGCCCCAUCUAUAACACAGCUGUAUGAGUCCAGAACAAGUCUUCGGAGAAAAUAUGAUCUAAAAAUGUCGACAGAAAAGCACCUAGUAGACUCUUUGCAACAAACUUUUAGAUGGUUUAAAUUAUUCGACUGGCACUUAUUGUUACCUGUACAUAAAAGAACAUGGGACGAUUGGGAACCGGCCAAGGAAAAUCAAUGCCCGAUGAUUGCCUUUCAUUGAUGGUAACUCCAUUUUGAAGUGUGCCCUCGUAGAAGCUGUUAGAUGGAAAUUCUGACAAGGCUGGAUGCAUUCGGUAUUGAACCUAAAAUUAAAUCACACAAAAUAUGUUAGUCUUGCAACACAUGCAAGCAAGAGCAAUUUCACUGUGAACGACAUACAACAAGACAGAAAGUGUCAUAAGCCUCUUAAUGGUGCACUGAUAGCUACACUAUGCAACUUAAUAUUUGAAUCAGAAACAAGACUGAUGACAGAAAAGAAUUAAAAUCAAAUAAAAAAGAACCAAACAAGUUAAAUGUUGAGAAUAAUCCAAACAAAUUAAAUCAUAAUAAAGUUUAUUUGCUCACAGAAGCUACGGAAAAUGUGAUAAGAAGGGAAAAAAUAAAUACAGGUACCUAAACUCCAAAGCAAUAAACAAUGAGUUAAGGGCAAAUACAUUGAGAACUGCAAUAAGCUUCCAAUAAAGAGAUAAAGAUAAGUAAAGCAACAACUUCAUUGGCACACUUUAAUAUUGAAUUGAAUGUUCAUGCUGUAACAUUAAGAAGAAAAGACCAAUAUCAUAUCUAUUGAUGAAUGGGUAUACAAAACAGUGUUUUAAGGGCGCGCCUAAGCGCCUUUGGAGGCAGGAUGCGAGUGAUAACGCCUCUGCCCAGUGGGAGUGGGCAAAAACUCGCCAAGGCACGCCCAAAGGCGGUUGGCGGGCGUUCCCAGAUCCAUCCGUGACCCAAAAUCGAAGUCAAAUGCUCUGUUGUCUGGGUAAAUCGAAGUUGAAGGUUCUGUUAGGGUUGCAGGGUGUGCAGCGUCUUCAUGAGGAAGACGACCGUGAAGAAGAGGAGGGAUUUUUUUUUUCAAGGACUUGGUCCAAAACGAUGUCGUUCACUUUAGGCCAAGUCUUUAAUUUUUUUUAAAUGACGUGGCCCAAAGCAACAUCAUUUUGGCCAAGUCUGUUUUUCUUUUAUUUUUAAAACCACAAGAGUCCCCUGUUUUCCCUGUUUUUCUCAGCAGUCCCCUAUUAUUUAAGGUCCCGUAAGGCUUCGCCUCACACCUAGGCGGGGCUAUCCAUGGAACGCCUUGCCCACACCUCUGCCUUUUAAUACAUUGAUACAAAUAACAAAACUCAGAUUUCAUCUCUGAUUAUCCAACAUAAAAGAAUAAAUAAACAAACAAAUAAACGUAAAAAAAAAGGCAAGUAAAUGUACACUAGCAAUGAUACUAUGCGCAGCUACCCAUGCAGACACUGAAAACUGUGGACCAAUUACCUGCAAUCUAAUUGGUUUCACACCAAGUAUAACGAGGCGUUCAAAAAGAGACUGGGCAAGCCCAGCACGAGCUGCUUUCUUGCACAUAAUGACUGGACCAAGCUGGCAGUGAUCUCCAACAAGAACAACCUAAUACAGAAAUUUCUCAUCAGACUCCGGGCAACAACUUGUUAAAAAUCAAGCUCAUAAUCAAAAUUUAGCAACGUCUACGUAUUUGAUCUCAAAGUACCUGCUUUGCCCCAAGAACCAAAGGAAUCAGGCAUUCAGGUUCUGUAGCCUGAGUCGACUCAUCAAUAAGUACCUACAAGCAGAGGAUAGAUUUGUGUAAGCUAUUUUUAAGUUGUGACAGAUAGUAACUAACUGUUAAUUUAAGACUUAUUUCAACCUGACGGAACCUAAAAUUGGCCAAUCGAGGAUCUCCAGCACCAACACAUGUGCAACAAAUGACAUCAGCACUCUGAGAAAUCUCCCUCUCGGUUGCCCGCUUCAGUGCCUUAUAUUUUUUCUCAUCAUUACUAGACAACUCUCCUGUAAAAUUUCAGGAACUAAUGAGCAUCAACUCAAGACAAAUAUACAUAGUUUUUAGAAAAGCGAAGUGACCUUGCUCAUCCUUCAAUUGUUGCAGCUUGUGAAGUUCACUCUUUUCUGACAUGUCAAGAUGACGAACCUGAGAUGAACAGAGUCGGUAUGCAUCCAGUUAAAUAAGUGAACAUAAAGAAAAGCCGGACAUGAAAAAUUAUUAAUUAAGGCAACAAGUCAAUACAAACCUGGUAAUGAAGGGUUAAAUGCUCAACAGGAGAACUUACGGCUUCCCUUGAUUUUGCACAAAGUCUAACAACCUUAAAUACCAAAAGGAAGAAAAAAAAAUCGGACAAAUUCAUAAGAAACUUACCAUUACCAAAGAGACAUAUAAUACAUAAAAACUUUUGCAAUGUUUGAUGCAAAAAUGAGUUAAUUCCUGAAUCUCAUAAACAGCACAAAACUGUAAACCAACUAGUUUCAAACAAAUAGAAAUCAGAUUACACACUGCUAUGCUUUACAAAGCAGAACAAGUGAUACUUGAGAGGGAGUCAUUCUAAGAUGGAAAUAAAUACGUUUAGGUACUCAUUUUCUGAUUUCUUGAUGCUUGUUAUUACUUUUCUUUGAUGGAUAUAGAUUUCAGCUUAAUAUAAAAAGCAACAACAUGAACAGUGAACAACCGAUCUAUCAUAAAGAAGAGCAAUCUAAAAUUCAGAGAAAAGGAAACUACUAAACAGCCGAGCAACAAAACCAUCAUUUAACCCAGGUAAAUAAGAAGCUCUCCAAUCUAAUAAAAUAUAAGAGAAACAGAAUCCAUUUAUGUAUCUGCACAACAUUGCAUACACAACCAAGGGGAUAUUUAAAUAUUCAUUCAAAGAGCCACAAAAACAAAUGGGACACACUUUAGAGUCAGUAUAAUUGCAGGCAAAGGCCAAGCACUAG